RNAcentral lists this long non-coding RNA (54334 nucleotides) under Triticum aestivum (bread wheat). Its description in RNAcentral is "long non-coding RNA (TAES_LNC019018)". Lineage: Eukaryota; Viridiplantae; Streptophyta; Magnoliopsida; Poales; Poaceae. The record is from RNAcentral.
AGUUGGCUGAGGUAACAAGUAUGAGCAGUAUGUGGUUAAGUAGAAAUAAUAAGUUAAUAACCUUUUGCGUCUCCUUUAGGGAUGCCAAGCCCAAAUAAAGUAUAUCCAAAGUCAAUCCUAUGUUAAUCUCAAAUUAAAAUCACACUACAUUGAGCUUUAUGCUGCGUUUGGCACUGCGGUGGAUUAUUAUAAUCCCAUUUGCUCAAACCUGCCUUUGCCUAUUGUAGUGUUCGUUUGACUCGCUUUUGCUUACUUUGCUGCUAAUUUUCCACAACAGAUUAUAGAAUAGGCACAACAAAAUAAGUACGCAUGGGGAGCUUUUGUGGGCGCCUGCUUGCAUCCGUUGUUUUCCUUAGUUCAACUGGUUACUCAUGUAGAAUUCAGUUUUUUAUCUCGACUAACAAAUGGAAGGAUUGUGGCAUUCCCAGGUAUAGGCAGGUGGCAUACCUGAAACUCCAACGACAUGAUGAUGCCGUGUCAACUGUUGCAUAAAUCACCUCCAGAAAAUCUGAAUUUGAUGUAUUGGUUUUGAUGAAAGGGCAGUGGGCCUGAGGUAUUGCCUAGGAAGUCAAUUUAAUUUCCUGUUUCAUCUCUGUAAUUAAAAAAAAAAAUCCUUCCGAGACUUCUGUUUACUGGUAUAAAUAUUGGAUGUGGUAGUUUCCAUAGCAGGCCUAAUCCUGACAAAUACGACUCGUACAGCUAAGAGUUUGAUGCUGUUGCACGACUAUUAUAUUAAAAAUUGUAUGCCUGUUCGAUGCACUGACAUUGAUGUCUCGGUAAACAAACUGAUGCAAGAAGGCACACUGAGUUUUGUUAUCUUAGGAUGAGUUUGUUAUCUUAUGGCGUGUUUGGUUAUUGGCAUCAAAUUUGGCCGUUUUGCAUCAUGUUUUGCAUCAUGUUUUGUUGCAUGCAAUCGAUUGCUUGCAUCAGGGUAGCAACUUCCCCAUCGGUGUUUGGUUGCCUGCCUUUCAUGAUUUUUGGCUGGGCUGAUGCAGUAGGUUGUGUUUGGUAGCACACAUUUGGCCUGAUGUUGUGCGCUUACCGGCUACCAUCCUAAUCAGUGUUGUCAUAACAUCAAAACAACAAUAAUAAUAAACACACAAUCAUUGAUCACACGAUAACAUCAAGACCACAAUACUAAUAAACACAAUAAUAAUAAACUGGAUGAAGAACUGCAGCCUUGGGUAUUUCAUGCUUGCUCUUCUCUUUGAAUACCAAUUUAGAGUAAUCAUCUUUCAUCUCCCUAAUCUUAGUUCCUUCGUAACAGUAGUUUUUGUAACCAUUCACUUGUUCAUGGCAUUGUAGACUCAUGGAACCAUCCUUGUGCACCACAUACCACUCAUCUACUAGGGUAGAAGAACAAGAUUUAUACAAGUAGGACAAGCAACAUAAGUUGAGAAGAACAUAAUGAACAUAACUAUGCACGAUUCAUAUGCCUAAAGGCAUCGCAAGUUCAUCUCACCUACUAUGGUGUCAUCCCACCAUUACAUCAAAAAGAGGGUGUAACCUUGCCACCGUAAGUUUACUAUCACCAUGAGGUAUACCACCUCAUCAAAAAUAUAAAAGCCCUACCUACCGGAAAAUAUACAUCGUCGUCGUCAUCAUCAUCAUCAUGCAUGCCAUCACCACCAAACCUCUGCACUAGUACUAGUGCUUGCACAACGAGAGUACCCUAUGCCACGCUUCCAUCCCAACAAAGCCAAGACACUGUGACUUGUUGUCCAGGAGGUGACUAAGAGCCACCCUGUAACAAUCAAGAUGGGAAUGGGCCGGCCCAGACCUGGCCUUGGACCUGGCCCGUGGCCUCAAGGCCAAUUUUAAGGGGCCACGGGUCGACCCAUUCUGACUAAAUCCCGUGGCCUCGCUGGCCCAUUGGGUACCCCAGGGCCAACCCAAAAUUCAGCUAGAAUUACACACAACAUUACACUAAUGCACAACCAUACAAAAACUGAAUGUACACAAUCAUACAUAUGGAUCAAUUCUCAGCAUGGAAGAUUCAUCUCAAUCAGAGAACAAUACAAGGGAAUUCUCCACAAUCACUUAUGCAGAUUUAAGCAAUCUCAACUUCAAACACAAAUCCUAGCUACUAAUCAAUUUUGCAGAAAAUAACAUGUGCACAGCCACUGCAGCUACGUGUGCAAGACGCAAGAAAUCAACAUAAAUCCUACUAGCUACUAAUCCUAGCUAGCAAGAAAUUGCACAGCCGCUGCUACACAGCUACAGCCCGAACAGGAGUACAGGAAGCAAAAAAUUGCACAGCGCUGCAGCUAGCCAGCUACCUGUGCUUGGCGACAGGGAUGGAGAGCUCGACGGCGACCGGGACGGCGAGCUUGAGGCGCACCAGCGUGAGGAACGCCGGCGGCGGCAGAGAUGGCCAGGGCCGGGCGGCGGCAGAGACGGUCGUGGGCGGCCGGUGGCAGAGACGGUCGGGGGCGGCCGAGGGCGGAAGAGAUUGGUCGAGGGCGCCGCAGAGAUGGACUAGGACGUAGCUCUCAUCUGGGUCGACCCGUGUGAUCCAUCGGGUCAGAUGGUGCCGGCUCCACUGACCCGUCUACUGCUUAAGGCCAACCUGCCUGGCCCAUUGGCCUCGAGAUUUUGGGCCGGGUCAGUGACCCAGCGGGCCGACCCGGCCCAUUCCCAUCUUGAUGUAACAACCUGAGACUGAUGCUCAAGUUGCCUUCCAUGUUUUUUGUGAUAACUGCGUUAAUUAUUUGUUUGUUGCAUUCAUUAUCGCAUCAUUCGCAUUGCAUUGGUACCCCGCAGCUGUCAUUUUACAAAACUUGUAUCCAUUCGUAGUUGUCGGUUCUCGUCGUUGACNNNNNNNNNNNNNNNNNNNNNNNNNNNNNNNNNNNNNNNNNNNNNNNNNNNNNNNNNNNNNNNNNNNNNNNNNNNNNNNNNNNNNNNNNNNNNNNNNNNNUAUAUAUAUAUAUAUAUAUAUAUAUAUAUAUAUAUAUAUAUAUAUAUAUAUAUAUGACCCAAGUUAAAUUUCUGGCAAAAUGUAAGCGGUUUAAGAUCAGUUUUGAAAACCGUUUUUUCUUCAUAUAAAAAACAUGAAUCGUAUUUUGGAUCAUAUUUUUAAACCGUUUAUCGGAAUGAGGAAAAUAAUAUGGCGUUGGAAAGCUUCUGAAAAACCACUCCUUCCACAUGUUGAAAGUUUUCUAUAAUUCCCUACGGUUAAAGAGUAAUUCAGAAAAUCGUAGAAUUUCGCAAAUGGAAAACCCAAGUUUGUAUUUUCGAUGCCAUUUCUAAACGACUAAUCCAAUUGAGGCAAAUAAUAUGGCGUUGGAAAGCUUAUGAAAAUGCUCUACUUUUUCAUGUUAAAAGUUUUUUCUAAUUUUAAACGGUUUAAAAUUAAUUUAGAAAAUGGUACAAGUUCCACCGAGUUCGUAUUUUUGAGCUAAUUUUUUAACCGUACGUCCAAAUGCAGCAAAUGAUAUGGUGUUGGAAAGCUUGAAAAAAUGCGGAACAUUUUUUUAUAUAUUGUUUCUCCUAAUUUAUUACGGUUUUAUGUCAGUUUUGAAAAUGGAUAAAAUGUAUUUUUACCGUAAUUUCUACAAACUUUGUCGGAAUGGGGAAAAAAUAUACCGUGGAAAAGGUACGGAAAAUUCGAAACUUUUUCAUGUUGAUGGUUUUCUGUGAUUCCUUGCCGUUUUUCAAGUAAUUUCGAAAAUGGCGAGAUCGUUCGUUCUGCCUUUAUCGCGAAACAGAUUCUUCGAAAAUGCACCGCGUGAAAAACCUGAACUUCUCGGCAUGUCUACUUGAACUUCACUCUGUUUUUCACGUGCUUUUUUGCCCGUAGCUCUCCAUCCACUGCUCGUAGCUCUCCAUCCACUCACCGGAAUUGAACAAGUGAUAUACCGAUGGAAAACUGCUGUAAACACGCAACUUUCCCGUGUUGAUUGUUUUUUCAUACUCGCGACAAUUUUAAAACUUUUUCAUCUCAAAUUCAUUCACUAUAGUAGUCGAUUUUCCUGUUGUUUUCACGUUGAACUUUUGUGACGUAUUUUCAUUUGUAAUUUUCUCAUUCAUUCAUCAGUGUUACAUAAAUGAUAUUAUUUUUGUACAAACCUCUCUCAUGAUAAUUUUUUUAAUUUUCUCCGACGAGGAACUACAACAAAAAUGCCACGUAUAGUCGCUUUUUCUGAGAUGCUAUUUGUAUUCGUCUCUAUGCGCAUGAACACUAGCGGGCUAAGGAUGCUUCUUAAGACGCUUACAUAACGCCAGAAAAUUUUCUUAUAAUUAGUAAUUUAGAAAAUAAGUAUGUAAUUUUAAUUAACUUAGAGACGAUGUGUGAGACGCUUUAAUACACGAUUCUUUUCUUAUCUUGGCUUAUGAGAAUUUUGAAUAAUCAAAAAAAUUAAAAUUUGAUAGCUAUAAAAAUUAGUUGUGCUAAAAUUCAAAACAUGACCAAAGUAACCACACCAAAGAAUGAAUCAAGAGGCAUUUUUGUAAAUCUUUGUCUAGCUGCCUCCUCCUCCUCCAAGAAAGGAAGCCGUGCCUCUCGCCGGCGCCGAUGCAGAUCCACCUCGUCUCCGGUGGCCCUAGGGCCAUGGAGGCAUGGUGGAUCCUGGCAAGGGCCGACGGGAGGGCUCCGUUUUUAGUCAUUUUUUACAAUCUUGCUAUGGUUUGUGUCCUGCUCAGGAAGGUGAGACGGCGGAGGCUCCCUGAAGAUGGAAUAAAGGUCUCCCCGCCUAGCCCCCGUUCCGGCGGUGCGUCUAGUAUCGUUGGUGGGUGUGUGGAGGUGUGUCUCCGGCAGAUCUAUCUUUGGUGGAUUUGCUCAGAUCUCGUCGUUGUUCGUCUAUGUUCAUGUGUCUUUGGUUUGGAUCCUUCUGAUCUACGUUAUUUUUCAUCAGCGGCGGUUGCUGUUCCGGGGUGCUGGUCCUUUGGGGCCUUAGCACGACGACUUCCCGAAUGUCUACUAUAACAAGUUGUGCCCGACUCCGGCGAUGGAGGGGCAAUGAUGGCGGCGCGUCUUCGGCUUGCUUUAGGGCUUGUAGUCGUCAUUAGGUGGUCUAUAAAUCUAGAUGUAAUUUUUAUUUCUAGUGUUCGUUGUACUGUCAUGAUCGAAGAUGAAUAGAUUAAAAAUUUUAUGGUAAAAAAGGCAUUUUUGUAUUUGAUUGUAACCUUAAUAAUACCCUCUAUAAUAGUAUUACCUUUGUAAUAUUGUACUGUCAAGACAGAAAACCUUAAUUAUCCCUGAAUUUAUGCAACUCCCCUCGGAAAAGGAAGGGGAGGGGGGGCUCGGUUCUUUUUUUAACACAGUACAGACGCAAGCGCUCACCUCCCACUGAAAGCAUAUCGCAGAAAUUCCUGAAAUAAAUCCAAGAUAAAUGCGAGCACCAGGAUUUGAACCCUGGUGGGUUAGGGAUACCAGGGUCCAUCUAACCAUAGAGUUUCACUAUGGCACGUCAUUGAUAGAGCCUUUCCAUCUCGACGUGUACGCGAUGGUGGAAAUGAAGGAAAUAUGCCCUAGAUGCAAUAAUAAAGUUAUUAUUUAUUUCCUUAUAUCAUGAUAAAAGUUUAUUAUUCAUGCUAGAAUUGUAUUAACCGGAAACUUAAUACAUGUGUGAAUACAUAGGCAAACAGAGUGUCACUAGUAUGCCUCUACUAGACUAGCUUGUUAAUCAAAGAUGGUUAUGUUUCCUAACCAUGGCCAAAGAGUUGUCAUCUGAUUAACAGGAUCACAUCAUUAGUUGAAUGAUCUGAUUGACAUGACCCAUUCCAUUAGCUUAGCACCGGAUCGUUUAGUAUGUUGCUAUUGCUUUCUUCAUGACUUAUACAUGUUCCUAUGACUAUGAGAUUAUGCAACUCCCGUUUGCCAGAGGAACACUUUGUGUGCUACCAAACAUCACAACGUAACUGGGUGAUUAUAAAGGAGCUCUACAGGUGUCUCCAAAGGUACAUGUUGGGUUGGCGUAUUUCGAGAUUAGGAUUUGUCACUCCGAUUGUCGAAGAGGUAUCUCUGGGCCCUCUCGGUAAUGCACAUCACUUAAGCCUUGCAAGCAUUGCAACUAAUGAGUUAGUUGCGGGAUGAUGUAUUACAGAANNNNNNNNNNNNNNNNNNNNNNNNNNNNNNNNNNNNNNNNNNNNNNNNNNNNNNNNNNNNNNNNNNNNNNNNNNNNNNNNNNNNNNNNNNNNNNNNNNNNUAUAUAUAUAUAUAUAUAUAUAUAUAUAUAUAUAUAUAUAUAUAUAUAUAUAUAUGACCCAAGUUAAAUUUCUGGCAAAAUGUAAGCGGUUUAAGAUCAGUUUUGAAAACCGUUUUUUCUUCAUAUAAAAAACAUGAAUCGUAUUUUGGAUCAUAUUUUUAAACCGUUUAUCGGAAUGAGGAAAAUAAUAUGGCGUUGGAAAGCUUCUGAAAAACCACUCCUUCCACAUGUUGAAAGUUUUCUAUAAUUCCCUACGGUUAAAGAGUAAUUCAGAAAAUCGUAGAAUUUCGCAAAUGGAAAACCCAAGUUUAUAUUUUCGAUGCCAUUUCUAAACGACUAAUCCAAUUGAGGCAAAUAAUAUGGCGUUGGAAAGCUUAUGAAAAUGCUCUACUUUUUCAUGUUAAAAGUUUUUUCUAAUUUUAAACGGUUUAAAAUUAAUUUAGAAAAUGGUACAAGUUCCACCGAGUUCGUAUUUUUGAGCUAAUUUUUUAACCGUACGUCCAAAUGCAGCAAAUGAUAUGGUGUUGGAAAGCUUGAAAAAAUGUGGAACAUUUUUUUAUAUAUUGUUUCUCCUAAUUUAUUACGGUUUUAUGUCAGUUUUGAAAAUGGAUAAAAUGUAUUUUUACCGUAAUUUCUACAAACUUUGUCGGAAUGGGGAAAAAAUAUACCGUGGAAAAGGUACGGAAAAUUCGAAACUUUUUCAUGUUGAUGGUUUUCUGUGAUUCCUUGCCGUUUUUCAAGUAAUUUCGAAAAUGGCGAGAUCGUUCGUUCUGCCUUUAUCGCGAAACAGAUUCUUCGAAAAUGCACCGCGUGAAAAACCUGAACUUCUCGGCAUGUCUACUUGAACUUCACUCUGUUUUUCACGUGCUUUUUUGCCCGUAGCUCUCCAUCCACUGCUCGUAGCUCUCCAUCCACUCACCGGAAUUGAACAAGUGAUAUACCGAUGGAAAACUGCUGUAAACACGCAACUUUCCCGUGUUGAUUGUUUUUUCAUACUCGCGACAAUUUUAAAACUUUUUCAUCUCAAAUUCAUUCACUAUAGUAGUCGAUUUUCCUGUUGUUUUCACGUUGAACUUUUGUGACGUAUUUUCAUUUGUAAUUUUCUCAUUCAUUCAUCAGUGUUACAUAAAUGAUAUUAUUUUUGUACAAACCUCUCUCAUGAUAAUUUUUUUAAUUUUCUCCGACGAGGAACUACAACAAAAAUGCCACGUAUAGUCGCUUUUUCUGAGAUGCUAUUUGUAUUCGUCUCUAUGCGCAUGAACACUAGCGGGCUAAGGAUGCUUCUUAAGACGCUUACAUAACGCCAGAAAAUUUUCUUAUAAUUAGUAAUUUAGAAAAUAAGUAUGUAAUUUUAAUUAACUUAGAGACGAUGUGUGAGACGCUUUAAUACACGAUUCUUUUCUUAUCUUGGCUUAUGAGAAUUUUGAAUAAUCAAAAAAAUUAAAAUUUGAUAGCUAUAAAAAUUAGUUGUGCUAAAAUUCAAAACAUGACCAAAGUAACCACACCAAAGAAUGAAUCAAGAGGCAUUUUUGUAAAUCUUUGUCUAGCUGCCUCCUCCUCCUCCAAGAAAGGAAGCCGUGCCUCUCGCCGGCGCCGAUGCAGAUCCACCUCGUCUCCGGUGGCCCUAGGGCCAUGGAGGCAUGGUGGAUCCUGGCAAGGGCCGACGGGAGGGCUCCGUUUUUAGUCAUUUUUUACAAUCUUGCUAUGGUUUGUGUCCUGCUCAGGAAGGUGAGACGGCGGAGGCUCCCUGAAGAUGGAAUAAAGGUCUCCCCGCCUAGCCCCCGUUCCGGCGGUGCGUCUAGUAUCGUUGGUGGGUGUGUGGAGGUGUGUCUCCGGCAGAUCUAUCUUUGGUGGAUUUGCUCAGAUCUCGUCGUUGUUCGUCUAUGUUCAUGUGUCUUUGGUUUGGAUCCUUCUGAUCUACGUUAUUUUUCAUCAGCGGCGGUUGCUGUUCCGGGGUGCUGGUCCUUUGGGGCCUUAGCACGACGACUUCCCGAAUGUCUACUAUAACAAGUUGUGCCCGACUCCGGCGAUGGAGGGGCAAUGAUGGCGGCGCGUCUUCGGCUUGCUUUAGGGCUUGUAGUCGUCAUUAGGUGGUCUAUAAAUCUAGAUGUAAUUUUUAUUUCUAGUGUUCGUUGUACUGUCAUGAUCGAAGAUGAAUAGAUUAAAAAUUUUAUGGUAAAAAAGGCAUUUUUGUAUUUGAUUGUAACCUUAAUAAUACCCUCUAUAAUAGUAUUACCUUUGUAAUAUUGUACUGUCAAGACAGAAAACCUUAAUUAUCCCUGAAUUUAUGCAACUCCCCUCGGAAAAGGAAGGGGAGGGGGGGCUCGGUUCUUUUUUUAACACAGUACAGACGCAAGCGCUCACCUCCCACUGAAAGCAUAUCGCAGAAAUUCCUGAAAUAAAUCCAAGAUAAAUGCGAGCACCAGGAUUUGAACCCUGGUGGGUUAGGGAUACCAGGGUCCAUCUAACCAUAGAGUUUCACUAUGGCACGUCAUUGAUAGAGCCUUUCCAUCUCGACGUGUACGCGAUGGUGGAAAUGAAGGAAAUAUGCCCUAGAUGCAAUAAUAAAGUUAUUAUUUAUUUCCUUAUAUCAUGAUAAAAGUUUAUUAUUCAUGCUAGAAUUGUAUUAACCGGAAACUUAAUACAUGUGUGAAUACAUAGGCAAACAGAGUGUCACUAGUAUGCCUCUACUAGACUAGCUUGUUAAUCAAAGAUGGUUAUGUUUCCUAACCAUGGCCAAAGAGUUGUCAUCUGAUUAACAGGAUCACAUCAUUAGUUGAAUGAUCUGAUUGACAUGACCCAUUCCAUUAGCUUAGCACCGGAUCGUUUAGUAUGUUGCUAUUGCUUUCUUCAUGACUUAUACAUGUUCCUAUGACUAUGAGAUUAUGCAACUCCCGUUUGCCAGAGGAACACUUUGUGUGCUACCAAACAUCACAACGUAACUGGGUGAUUAUAAAGGAGCUCUACAGGUGUCUCCAAAGGUACAUGUUGGGUUGGCGUAUUUCGAGAUUAGGAUUUGUCACUCCGAUUGUCGAAGAGGUAUCUCUGGGCCCUCUCGGUAAUGCACAUCACUUAAGCCUUGCAAGCAUUGCAACUAAUGAGUUAGUUGCGGGAUGAUGUAUUACAGAANNNNNNNNNNNNNNNNNNNNNNNNNNNNNNNNNNNNNNNNNNNNNNNNNNNNNNNNNNNNNNNNNNNNNNNNNNNNNNNNNNNNNNNNNNNNNNNNNNNNCUGUUACAUGAUGAACCGCAUCCGGCAUAAUCUCCAUCACCGAUCCAUUGCCUACGAGCUUUCCAUAUAUUGUUCUUCGCUUAUUUACUUUCCCGUCGCUAUUGCUAUCAUCACUACAAAAUACCAAAAACAUUGCUUUUACUACUGUUACCUUUUGCUACCGUUAUCACUACUAUCAUAUUACUUUCCUACUAAACACUUUGUUGCAGAUACUAAGUUUCCAGGUGCGGUUUAAUUGACAACUCAGCUGCUAAUACUUGAGAAUAUUCUUUGGCUCCCCUUGUGUCGAAUCAAUAAAUUUGGGUUGAAUACUUUACCCUCGAAAACUAUUGCGAUCCCCUAUACUUGCGGGUUAUCACCGAACCUGAUGUUCCUUUAUUUAUCAUGGCAUCAUUCUAAGGAGUCGCUCUUUGACAAGGACUGGAUAACAAAGGCGAAGAUGAUCAGGUGUUCGGCCCCCCUUCCUGAGGGCUUGGAUAAUCCGGUACUGGACAAGAUGCUCGAGCCGGUGCCUUAUCUAGUGCCCUCAAAGGAAGAUGAAGGGGGAUUAAAGAUGGCAAAAGCGGGAUUCACUCAAAUUAAUCUACCAAACCAUAGAAUACUUCGCACGAAUGCAUGACUGACUUGGGAUGAUUCCAAAGGAAGCAAAAACAAGCUCCCUCGAAUUCACGGUGGUAACUUGCAUCGAUUGCACGUGAACUUAGAGGAAGUCACUACUUUCAUCCAAACAUAUACUUCAUGAACGGGGCAUGAUGAAAAUUCUUACACAAGUUUCCAACACUAGCUGGAUGUUCAGCAUGAAUCAUGGAGACAAAAUGCUGCUGAUGGGCUUAACAACAACGCAUCGGAAUUUCCAUAUCACUGGACUUCCACCAUUAUAUGAACAAUGUGAUGGUAUUGGUCAGACCAAAGGAUGUAAUGGUGUAUGCUCGAGGAAUCAACCACGAGUAAGACAACAUUACGAAUAUCGUUGGUUCUAACUUGAUUUGACGAUAGCCCACACUCAAAUCAAGGUUUGAACAAGACAAUAGAUUCAACAGCUGAUCACGGGGAUCAGUUGAUGAGGAUAUCAUCUUUCUUCAACACACACACACACUCAAGGAUAUCCCUUAGUGAUGAACUAAGUCGGACAAGCUUUCAUCUUCCAACUCUCCAAGUUGUUGUUUAGCUUAACCAACUAGCUCAGGGGUAUCCAACACAGAUGCUAGGAGAAGGGGUCGUUACAAGAAACCAACUUGAUCACAAACUCAACAUAGCGGUCAGGUGACAACCUGGUAACACUUCCGAGAAGACAUUCGGAAAAUCACGAACCACCGAAAUGUUAUUAAGCUCAGGAGCAAUCUUGCUUUUCAUGGCAAGACGAUGUGAUCAAUGGAUCAAGGGUUUGACACAAUCCUAACACAUUGAUCGAAUAGUGCUCCGGAAAUAAGGACUAGGUAGAACGAUCAAUCCUAGUAUAGUGAUUUGAUAACCAACACGCUAAGAAUGAUAUUAAUGUCCAUUAACUACCAAGUAACAAGGCUGCUAGGAGUAUUGGUUUCACACAUCACGAUUCACUUGUCGGCAUUCCAGUUACAAUAACAUGGGAACCGAGGAAUCAACAAUGAUGGCAAGAAGUAUCACUGCGUCAAGAAUUCAUUUGAGGGUGUGUGCAAUUCUCACAAUACUCUUGUUAUGAAAGAGGGUGAUACUCCGAGGUAGAACAGAACAAAAGCUGGAUUGGCAUUUUGAUUUGCGGGAUACAACUACUUUGACCCAAUCCUAGAAAUGGACAAGGUACUGGAGUUUGUUUCUCCUAGUCAUUCCGGAAUAGAAUGGCUUGACGGACCACAAGAAUAAUAGGCAUCGAUGAACACGAAUGCACAACUAUUCCUGACUAUCAAUUGAUAGACUAGGGUCGGAAUACAGCUAAGGAGGGUCAACUCAAGGAACAUAUAACUUUCUGAGUUGUGGAUGCAAAGAUUAGUAUGUCGAACCAAGUUCAACAUGUUUCUUCUGGAUAACCCAUGCAAAAAAGUAGAACUGGCAGAUUCACAAUGUAGAAUGGAUAACUCAUCAAGAGCACUCUGGUUGUGAUCUUUUGGUUCAAAAGAACUCCUGCCAAGAAUGGUUCAUGGUAUUUGGAAGAAUGAUAUACCACGGACCUCGAGGACUAUCACAAGGUUACUAAUAUCUUAAGGGAACUAGCAAAUACUAACAACAUGAAGUAGGGUGAAUCUCGGGUUCAAAACCCAGGAGUAGAAUACCUACUAACUAAAUAACAUCAUGAGAUGCUUUCAAGAAUGAUGGCCAGAAUCACCAGACUGGGAAUACGAAAGCGUUGCUAAAUUCUCGAGGACACCUAGGGUCAUAAUACUAACUCCAACAUACACGUCAAGGCAACAGAGUACCUCAACACACCGAUUAGUGUGCUUAAUCUGACCCAAAAUACAACGGGAACAUGGAGGAAAGAUUUGCAAGUGCAUCAGACUAUUUAGAAACCUGGGAUGACUCAGACAGCAUAACGACUGUAAAUGCUCAAAAUGAUUUGAGACAUCCUGCAAAAAUGGUGGCAGAACCACUCAACAUCACAAUAUCAAGGUUCUGAGGCCAGCUAUGAACAUAUGGAAGUAGUAGGACCUGAACUGAGGCUUGAACUCAACAAUCCUAGGCAACUACGGUUUAGUAACAUGUCAUCCUGAGAGAUAGAAGAGAAGCCUAGUUCUUAACCCCUGUAGAAAAGAAGAGGUUGACUCAGAGCAGAAGGGCAUAAGGUAAAGGAGUAAAAAGAGCCUUAUGUUCCCAUCCACAAUCAAUUCCCUUAUAUAACUAAAGCAUUUCUAGACAUGACUUCGACCAGUUUGGCUUGGAAAUCCUACAGGCAGUCAGGCUCUGAUACCAAAGUUGUCAGGACCCCGAUUCCAAGUCACAUCGAUCUAGCCGGUAGCACCUCAUAUCACUUUGCGGCCUCACACAUGGUAUCCCCACGGGUGUCGCCUUACCAUGGCCCGGGACCGUUUGCGCCUUUUGGCUCACAUAUAUGAUAGUGUCGCUAGCAUCCAUAUGACAGAGAACCCAGGCCGACAUGACUAUUCGUGAACCCAGAGUGGCACUAACUUACGGGGACAGGCAUACAUGAAUCAACAUCGANNNNNNNNNNNNNNNNNNNNNNNNNNNNNNNNNNNNNNNNNNNNNNNNNNNNNNNNNNNNNNNNNNNNNNNNNNNNNNNNNNNNNNNNNNNNNNNNNNNNCAGAGGCUAUUCUAGGUGCUGCGUCACAUUAUUAUUGGGCCAGGCCCAUGUAAUUUCGAAAUACUUGGGUAUAGGCUAUUUUUAGAGUCCGUAUGUGUGGGGAAACAAGAGAUAGGGUUGGUUUCGGACCCCUUCCCCAAGGGCCACGAAAUUCCCCCCUCUUCCUCCAUAUAUACAGCCCUUAGGGCGUCGUUUAGACUUUGGGUUUUGUUUAGAUUAAAAGUUCGCCAUAGCUGCAACUUCGCGUACUUCGUUUGUGUUCAAUGACCAGACAAAGGCGUCACAGAACCCCACCUUGAUCAAUAAAGCUUUCAUCUUAUAUUCGCAAUAUCCAGAGUGCAAUCUCAGUUUCUUGCUUGUUCUUCGUUUGCUCGCAGGAAACAGACCCUCGUGGUCAGGUUGAUCGUGCUCUGGCGUGGUCAAUAACCUCUCGGAGUUGGUUUAGCGAUUGCUAAGGCGCGACGUCAUCGCACGUUCGUAGUCGGAUCGUCAAAGUCGACUUCCACCAAAGCGAUAUCCAUCAUCUCAUCGAAAGACGGGACACCUUUGCCUCUAUCAAUGUGCCAACUUAUCUUUCAAUACCGUGAAGACUUCUUCCGGUGCGGUACCCCAAACAAAAGGCACAUCCUUCUUUGUAAGCUCGUUGAGAGGUGCAGCAAUGGUGCUGAAAUCUCUCACAAAGCGCCUAUAGAAUCCAGCGAGGCCAAGAAAACUCCUCACUUGUGUGAGCGUUUUGGGCUGCGGCCAACUCUUAAUAGCUUCAAUCUUGGCUUUAUCAACUUCAAUUCCCUGUGGAAUAACAACAUAGCCAUGAAAAUAUACUCGGUCGAUGCAAAAGGUGCACUUCCCAAGGUUACCAAACAAACGUGCAUCACAUAGAGCAAUAAAAACAACACGUAAAUGUUCCAAAUGUUCUUCCAAAGAUUUGCUAUAAAUCAGUAUAUCAUCAAAAUAGACUACCACAAAUCGUCCAAUGAAAGCACGUAAAACUUCGUUCAUUAGUCUCAUGAAAGUACAAGGUGCAUUAGUUAACCCAAAAGGCAUGACUAACCACUCAUAUAAUCCAAACUUAGUUGUAAAUGUUGUUUUCCAUUCAUAUCCCAAUUUCAUACGAAUUUGAUGGUGUCCACUACGCAAAUCAACUUUGGAGAAUAUGGUAGAGCCACUCAAUUCAUCAAGCAUAUCAUCUAGCCUAGGAAUAUGAUGACGAUAAUGAAUAGUAAUAUUGUUAAUGCCUCUACAAUCAACGCACAUACGCGACGUACCAUCCUUUUUCGGCACUAAAAUGAUAGGAACAGCACAAGGACUAAGGGAUUCGCGUAUAUAACCUUUGUGAUGAGGACAUCAAUACCAUUGUUACACCCACAGGCCCUGCUGCUAUACAUACUGGACCAAUUACUAGAGCUCGCGCACGCCAAUUAAAUUACCAGGUACUUUCGUUUCUUGGUAAUGAUUCUAAUGUUCAUGAGAAUAUGAUGCUGCCUAAAUUGGAUACAUUUGUUGUGCUUACAAAUGAAGGGCCUAGCUUGGAGAAGGAUGAACAUUGGAGCAAGAACAAGCAUGGAGAUGAUGGCAUGCGCAUGGGGAACAAGAACGGAGUUAAAAGUGAUGAUUUCAGGACGUUGAAGCCACCAUAAUGCGUGCAUGAAGCCUUGGACGAAAUAUACAAGAUGCUACUUCAUAACUUUUGUUCAGAGGCUAUUCUAGGUGCUGCGUCACAUUAUUAUUGGGCCAGGCCCAUGUAAUUUCGAAAUACUUGGGUAUAGGCUAUUUUUAGAGUCCGUAUGUGUGGGGAAACAAGAGAUAGGGUUGGUUUCGGACCCCUUCCCCAAGGGCCACGAAAUUCCCCCCUCUUCCUCCAUAUAUACAGCCCUUAGGGCGUCGUUUAGACUUUGGGUUUUGUUUAGAUUAAAAGUUCGCCAUAGCUGCAACUUCGCGUACUUCGUUUGUGUUCAAUGACCAGACAAAGGCGUCACAGAACCCCACCUUGAUCAAUAAAGCUUUCAUCUUAUAUUCGCAAUAUCCAGAGUGCAAUCUCAGUUUCUUGCUUGUUCUUCGUUUGCUCGCAGGAAACAGACCCUCGUGGUCAGGUUGAUCGUGCUCUGGCGUGGUCAAUAACCUCUCGGAGUUGGUUUAGCGAUUGCUAAGGCGCGACGUCAUCGCACGUUCGUAGUCGGAUCGUCAAAGUCGACUUCCACCAAAGCGAUAUCCAUCAUCUCAUCGAAAGACGGGACACCUUUGCCUCUAUCAAUGUGCCAACUUAUCUUUCAAUACCGUGAAGACUUCUUCCGGUGCGGUACCCCAAACAAAAGGCACAUCCUUCUUUGUAAGCUCGUUGAGAGGUGCAGCAAUGGUGCUGAAAUCUCUCACAAAGCGCCUAUAGAAUCCAGCGAGGCCAAGAAAACUCCUCACUUGUGUGAGCGUUUUGGGCUGCGGCCAACUCUUAAUAGCUUCAAUCUUGGCUUUAUCAACUUCAAUUCCCUGUGGAAUAACAACAUAGCCAUGAAAAUAUACUCGGUCGAUGCAAAAGGUGCACUUCCCAAGGUUACCAAACAAACGUGCAUCACAUAGAGCAAUAAAAACAACACGUAAAUGUUCCAAAUGUUCUUCCAAAGAUUUGCUAUAAAUCAGUAUAUCAUCAAAAUAGACUACCACAAAUCGUCCAAUGAAAGCACGUAAAACUUCGUUCAUUAGUCUCAUGAAAGUACAAGGUGCAUUAGUUAACCCAAAAGGCAUGACUAACCACUCAUAUAAUCCAAACUUAGUUGUAAAUGUUGUUUUCCAUUCAUAUCCCAAUUUCAUACGAAUUUGAUGGUGUCCACUACGCAAAUCAACUUUGGAGAAUAUGGUAGAGCCACUCAAUUCAUCAAGCAUAUCAUCUAGCCUAGGAAUAUGAUGACGAUAAUGAAUAGUAAUAUUGUUAAUGCCUCUACAAUCAACGCACAUACGCGACGUACCAUCCUUUUUCGGCACUAAAAUGAUAGGAACAGCACAAGGACUAAGGGAUUCGCGUAUAUAACCUUUGUGAUGAGGACAUCAAUACCAUUGUUACACCCACAGGCCCUGCUGCUAUACAUACUGGACCAAUUACUAGAGCUCGCGCACGCCAAUUAAAUUACCAGGUACUUNNNNNNNNNNNNNNNNNNNNNNNNNNNNNNNNNNNNNNNNNNNNNNNNNNNNNNNNNNNNNNNNNNNNNNNNNNNNNNNNNNNNNNNNNNNNNNNNNNNNAAUGCACGGUACCAUAGAGGCUAGAAAAUUGUGGAAGUUUGAGAGUGCGUAUAAUCCAUGGACUCACAUUAGUCAUAAAGAACUCAUAUACUUAUUGCAAAAGUUUAUUAGCCCUCGAAGCAAAGUACUACUACGCAUGCCCCUAGAGGGAUAGAUUGGUAGGAAAAGACCAUCGCUCGUCCCCGACCGCCACUCAUAAGGAAAGCAAUAAAAGAACACCUUAUGCAUCAAAAUUGUCACACAACUUUUACCAUACAUGCAUGCUACGGACUUGCCAACCUUAACACAAGUAUUUCUCAAUUUCACAAUUACUCAACUAGCACACUCUAAUAUUACCACCUUUAUAUCUCAAAACACUUAUCAAGUAUCAAACUUCUCACGAUAUUCAAUGAACUCGAUAUGGAAGUUUUUAUUUCACUCAUCUUGGAUGCCUAUCAUAUUAGGACUAAUUUCACAAUUAAAGCAAAUUCCCAUGCUGUUUAAGACUCUCAAAAUAAUAUAAGUGAAGCAUGAGAGAUCAAUAAUUUCUAUAAAAUAAAACCACCACCGUGCUCUAAAAGAUAUAAGUGAAGCACUAGAGCAAAAACUAUAUAGCUCAAAAGAUAUAAGUGAAGCACAUAGAGUAUUCUAAUAAAUUCCGAAUCAUGUGUGUCUCUCUCAAAAGGUGUGUACAGCAAGGAUGAUUUUGAUAAACUAAAAAGAAAACACUCAAAUCAUACAAGACGCUCCAAGCAAAACACAUAUCAUGUGGUGAAUAAAAAUAUAGCCCCAAGUAAAGUUACCGAUAGACGAAGACGAAAGAGGGGAUGCCUUCCGGGGCAUCCCCAAGCUUAGGCUUUUGGUUGUCCUUGAAUUUUACCUUGGGGUACCUUGGGCAUCCCCAAGCUUAGGCUCUUGCCAAUCCUUGUUCCAUAAUCCAUCAAAUCUUUACCCAAAACUUGAAAACUUCACAACACAAAACUCAACAGAAAAUCUCAUGAGCUCCGUUAGCGAAAUAAAACAAACCACCACUUUAAGGUACUGUAAUGAACUCAUUAUUUACUUAUAUUGGUGUUAAACCUACUGUAUUCCACUUCUCUAUGGUUUAUAAACUCUUUUACUAGCCAUAGAUUCAUCAAAAUAAGCAAACAACACACGAAAAACAGAAUAUGUCAAAAACAGAACAGUCUGUAGUAAUCUGUAUCUAACGCAAACUUCUGCAACUCAGAAAAAUCUACCAAAAUAGGACGACCUAGAUAAUUUGUUUAUUGAUCUACUUCAAUUGGAAUGAUUAUUUUAUCAUGUUCUGGUGAUUUUAAACAAUUGCUUUCGUGAGAAGAAAGUUUCUGAUUUUUUCAGCAAGAUCAAAUAACUAUCAUCCAAGAAGAUCCUAUAGGUUUUACUUGGCACAAACACUAAUUAAAACAUAAAAACAAAUCUAACCAGAGGCUAGAUCAAAUAUUUAUUCAACACCAGAAAGGAAAUAUAUUGGGUUGUCUCCCAACAAGCGCUUUUCUUUAAAGCCUUUUUAGCUAGGCAUUGAGAUUUCAAUGAUGCUCACAAGAAAGACAAGAAUUGAAGCACAAAGAGGGCAUUAAACACGUGACAAACACAUCUAAGUAUAACAUACUUCCUAUGCAUAGGCAUCUUAUAGGCAAACAAAUUAUCAAGGCAAGCAAAAACUAGCAUAUGCAAGGAAGCGGAAAGAAACAAUAGCAAUCUCAACAUAACGAGAGGUAAUUUAGUAACAUGAAAAUUUCUAUAACCAUAUCUUUCCUCUCUCAUAAUAAUUACAUGUAGGAUCAUAAGAAAAUUCAACAAUAUAGCUAUCACAUAACAUAUUCUCAACACGAUCCACAUGCAUGUGAAGUUGACACUCUUCCAAAAUAGUGGGAUUAACAUUAACUAAAGUCAUGACCUCUCCAAACCCACUUUCAAUAUUAUUGCAAACACUAUUAUCAAUCUCAUAUUCAUCAUGGGGGUUAAAUAAACUUUCAAGAUCAUAAGAAGAAUCACCCCAAUCAUGAUCAUUGCAACAAGUAGUAGACAUAGCAAAACUAGCAUCCCCAAGCUUAGGGUUUUGAAUAUUAUUAGCACAAUUGACAUCAAGAGAAUUUAUAGUAAAAUCAUUGCAAUCAUGCUUUUUAUUCAAGGAGCUAUCGUGAAUCUCUUCAUAAAUUUAUUCAUCACAAUUUUCAGAUUCACGAAUUUCAAGCAAAACUUCAUAAAGAUAAUCUAGUGCACAAAACUCACUAGCAAUAGGUUCAUCAUAAUUGGAUCUCUUAAAAAGAUUAGCAAGCAGAUGAGGAUCCAUAGAUCUUGGGUUCUCUGUUUAGCAAUAAAUAUACAACUAUUCCAACCAAACGAGCAAACGAGCCAAGUAAGACAUCAAGGCAGACGAAAAGACGAACAGAAGAAGGGCGAAUAAAACGGCAAAGGUGAAGUGGGGGAGAGGAAAACGAGAGGCAAAUGGCAAAUAAUGUAAUGCAAGGGAUAAGAGUUUGUGAUGGGUACUUGGUAUGUCUUGACUUGUGCGUAGACUCCCCGGCAACGGCGCCAAAAAUCCUUCUUGCUACCUCUUGAGCACUGCGUUGGUUUUCCCUUGAAGAGGAAAGGGUGAUGCAGCAAAGUAGCGUAAGUAUUUCCCUUAGUUUUUGAGAACAAAGGUAUCAAUCCAGUAGGAGGCCACGCUCAAGUCCCUUGUACCUACACAAACAAAUAAGAACCUUGCAACCAACGCGAUAAAGGGGUUGUCAAUCCCUUCACGGCCACUUGCAAAGUGAGAUCUGAUAGAGAUGAUAAGAUAAUAUUUUUGGUAUUUUUAUGAUAAAGAUAAAAAGUAAAGAUUGCAAAAUAAAAGGCGAUAGAAAUAGCUAGUUGACGGGAGAUAAAUAUGAUGGAGAAUAGACCCGGGGGCCAUAGGUUUCACUAGUGGCUUCUCUCAAGAUAGCAUAAGUAUUACGGUGGAUGAACAAAUUACUAUCGAGCAAUUGAUAGAAUUGAGCAUAGUUAUGAGAAUAUCUAGGUAUGAUCAUGUAUAUAGGCAUCACGUCCGUGACAAGUAGACCGACUCCUGCCUGCAUCUACUACUAUUACUCCACACAUCGACCGCUAUCCAGCAUGCAUCUAGAGUAUUAAGUUCAUAAGAANNNNNNNNNNNNNNNNNNNNNNNNNNNNNNNNNNNNNNNNNNNNNNNNNNNNNNNNNNNNNNNNNNNNNNNNNNNNNNNNNNNNNNNNNNNNNNNNNNNNCAGACGGCAAAGUAGUCACCUCUUUCGUCGUCCGCUAGCGGACGGCAAAGAAUCUGACCUAGCCACGCCGUGCCCUGUGGGGCCCACUUGGCUCUUUGCCGUCUGCCUUCUAGCUCUUUGCCGUCAGCUGGCCAACGACAAAAAAGAAGCUGACGGCAAAUAGCAUUUUUGCCAUCUGCACUUUAUUUACCGUCCGCUUUGUGGAAGCGGACGGCAAAGAGCCUCUUUGCAGUCAGCUGGCAGACGGCAAAAUGUCAGAUUCCAGUAGUGAUAGUCAGGCCCCGAGGAUGUAGCCAUAUCGGUGAACCUCAUUAACAAAUCUCGGUGUCAUGCUCGUGUGAUUGCUUGGUCCUCGGAUGAUCGACGGUGGCCUCAGAUUUAUGCUAACAUAUACAAUUGAUAAUAUAAUUUAGUAUUAAUAGAUUCAUCAUGAAAUAUAUUUCUAGUGAACAAGCCCGUGGAGAUAAAUGGGUUACAAGAUAUGGGAUAGACAUAUGGUUAGUACGUGGGUUAGUUUUAAUCCCAUGUUGAAAAUGGCUGAAGGGAAUGGGCUAUGUAGGUGAGUUCAGGAUAGGGAUAUAUGAUGUUUCAUGCACCUUUGAUCUAAAACAUAGGAUGUUUAAAAGUUCGAACCAUAUAUACCAAUUUGAAACCAAGAUACAUGAUCAGAGAACAGAGUACGUACUUCAAUAUAUGUUGCCAAUAGUUUUCCUGUUAUCAUGCAUUCUUAUUGACCAAUCAGCAUGAAGAAGGCAAUGACUUGCCCUCGAUCAUUUUCUUAUGUGAUGUGCUACACGUGGUCGUGGGAGACAACAACAAUACAACACUCCGGCUUUCUUAUCACAGUAGGCUGCACUUGGGCCCAUCUCCUUGUUCUGGCAUCAUAGUCAGCCACACAUGUUCCCUCUAGCUCUCCAGUCAUCACUUCAUCUGCACAUACAUAUUAACAGACGAGAUCACUUGUUACUUCCUCCGUCCCACAAUAUAAGAGCAUUUUGCAAAAUGGAGGGAGUAGUAUAUGACGAAAAUAUAUGUUUUUCCAUGCAUGACUCAGCGCACUGACCUGACAGUGAUACCCCAUGGUAGAAGGAAAAAGUAAGCACGACUAGAAAUGCUGCUACGAGUACGGCCACCCUAAACCUAAGGUUCUUCUUCUUCGCGAACGCCAUUUAUCUCUAGAUCAGAUCGAUGCCCAGUAGCUAGUUCGUGUUCUAUUUCUGUAGCUAAUAUCAGUUUCUCUUGUUUACAUGUCUAGAACUGGAACGAUAUUCCCUUCUUAUGUACUAAGGCAGGGAGGUACCUUGUCAGGCAUGUAGUAAUUCUAUUGUUAUCACAUACCUAAAUUAAUUCCGUUGUAUAUUUUUAUAACAUCCUAUCUUUGUGCACGCCAGAGAUGCGUCUUUUUGAUUAUUACCCCAAUUGUAUUGUCUCAAUCCAUACAGAUAUAAAUAUCUCAAACCAGCCAAGAACUAAUUCUCUCCAUUUCUACCACUAACUAGUUUGCAAAUUCGCCGCAUUGUUACACAUACAGAAUUACUACUGCAUGUCUUAAUAACUAAUUUUUGGUCGAGGUCUUAUUGUAUUUUGAUGUAACAUACUUGUUGCUUUUUAUUUUUUGGCAGAUUUAUAUAUUUUUUCUGGUCGUUUUUUCUUGCAUCGACAGUAUCUGGAUUGGAUCCGUAAUUAGAUUGUAGCGGAUGGGGCCAUAGGCCUUUCAGUCAUGCAUACCUAUCAUGGGCUUCAAAAGCAGCUCAAAUGGAACGGAAGGGACACCACCAAAUCACAAGGCCUAAAGCCCACGUGACAAGGCAAUGAUGGGCAGUGCUCGGCCCGACAUGAAUACAUGGAUGGUUUGUCCAUUCUUUUAAGCAAUGAGCCACCUCGUCGGUUUUCAUUAAUAAACCAUUAGUUUUACAUAACAGAAAUCAACCUGUGGUUGGAUGGUUAGAGGGACAGUGGUAUCCCCAGCCCACCAGGGUUCAAGUCCUGGUGCUCGCAUUAUUCCUGGAUUUAUUACAGGAUUUCCAGCGAUACACUUUCAGUGGGAGGAGACGUUCCCGUCGACGACGAGGCGCCUACGGUGACUUCGUAAAUUUUAAGAUGACAUGCCGGCUCAAUCUCUCGGAGGUGCUCAUAAGGGUAGGGUGUGCAUGCGUAAAUUCAUAGGGGUGAGUGAAUGCGCGUAUGUAUGAGCGCUUGUGUCUGUACUAAUGUUCAAAGAAAUGCAAGCAAAAGAACUGAAAACAUGGUUAUGGAGCUGUAAGAGAAGCAGGCUAGUAGCCAGCUGAGACGAGAGAGAGAGAGAGAGAGAGAGAGAGCGCUUAUGCCACAGGAAGCAGCGGCACAGGACACCGCACCACCGGCCAAUCGCCCACGAAUUGGUCGGCCAGGUCUACCUUCUGAGAAGAUCCCUUGUGCCACCUCCUUGCUGUAAUUUGUUCGGUAAUUCAAGUUCCAACAACUUCAGGCCUGUUUAUUCCUUGCAUGAGAAGUUCUAUUCUCUUCGUUUUUAAAUAUUUAUCUUUUUAGAGAUUUUAAAUGGAGUACCACAUACAGAUGUAUAUAGACAUAUUUUAGAGUGUAGAUUCACUCAUUUUGCUCCGUGUGUAGUCACUUGUUGAAAUCUCAUUAGUAGAAAACAGGCCUUUAGUCCCAUUUCCAGAGGGCCUUUACUCCCGGUUCUGAAACUGGGAUUAAAGCGUCGGGACUAAAGCCCAAAAUUUUGUAUUUUUUUCAAAAAAAAUUCUUAUUUUCAAAUUUCUGAAUUAUUUGACAAUUUAAUCUCUAAUCACCUCUUAUCACUGCUCAAGUAUAUGGACCACUCAUUCCAAAUCGUCUAACUUCCCGGCUGGUCACCCAUCCUCUCACUACCCCAGCCUAAGCACACUUAAGUUCCGAGUUCUAUUCCCCCUAGUUUCCAAGUCUGCACUUGUUGUUUUCCUGACAAUAGUAAGAUGUCGAUCCUAUUAACCCUUAGGAGUUGAACUUGAGCAUGAAGCACCGUUUGAGUUUAAAACUAUUAUUCUAAAAAACAAUAAUUAUUUAGUAACACUAAUAUUUCUUGAAUAAGUAGUUUGACCAUACUUUGACCAUAGUUUGACCUGAGUUUGACCAAAAAUUAAAAAAAANNNNNNNNNNNNNNNNNNNNNNNNNNNNNNNNNNNNNNNNNNNNNNNNNNNNNNNNNNNNNNNNNNNNNNNNNNNNNNNNNNNNNNNNNNNNNNNNNNNNUGGAAAGAACGGAGUCGAUGGGUGUUUGAGAAGCAAGUGCAUCAUGAAGAUGAGCUAGUUAUGCUGAACAAGCAAGACAUUGGACUAGCGACACCCAAAAUUCUCCUGAACCUGAACCUGAUUAGGUUAGUCUUUUAUUUCCCUUCGUCCUGUAAGGACCUUUAUAUUUGUUUUACUCCUGCUCAAUAUAUAGGCAGAUGAUCUGCCAAUUCCUAAAACAAAAAUUCAUGGGUCGUCAAGACUUUACCAUGAGUAGUUCAUAAUAUAUGACCUCCUCAAGCAUUCUUUGAGUCCAUCAGGGUCUAUUUGCAGGCGAACUAUGCAGUACAGGCUACACUUCAUCCAAAACAGAACUUCUCCCAAAGAGUUGGCUAUCACAAUGAGACCCUAAAAGACUCGGGGUCUACUUACAAUGGUAUCCCCUCGUGUAGGCCCAUGGCGAGUCUCAGAGACUCAGAUGUAUCUAUAAUUUUUGCUAUAUUUGUGCUACUUUUAUAUCAUAAUUACAUAGUUUUGACACGAUUUCAUAUCAACUAUUUUACCAACCUAUUAAUCCAAUACCCACGACUAAUUGGUAUUUUCUGCAUAUUUUGGACUUUAGAAAAAACACCAUUUUGGAAAAAAAAAUCACAAAGUUUUUUAUCAGACGAAGCCAAGGGUGCCAAAGGGGGCAGAGAGGAGCCCCAGAGGAUCCAUCUGGUGGGCCCAUGCGGCUCGGGAGCUGGUCACGAGGCUAGGCGCGUGGAGGCCCUAGGGCACCCCUCUGCCGCCUCUCGGCCCCCAGCCUUUCCAUACUCCCGAAACCUCUAAAAAUAUUUAUCGAGGAUUUUUCACGUUGUCGCCGCCUCUUAUUCCAUGAUGAUCUAACUGGAGGCCUUCCAGGGUACAUGUAAAUUAUCAUAUGAGGCUUGAUUAGAACACUCAGUACGAGUAGGGUAUUACCUAUAAGAUAGAGGACCCAAACCUAAUAUAUUUUGGGUAUUACCUUCCAGAUUCUCCACGUGCACCUUUGUUCCAAAAAAUCCCCAAAUCUCUCCGCUGUCUUCUACCCCAUCCUCACAACGAGAGUAGAGAUGGCACCGCUACAGAGGGCAGCCGGCGGCGCUCGAAGCUUGCCGGUGUUUUUGCUGUGGGGAAGCUGAAGCUGCCACGCGUGAUUGCAAGAACCUGGUGUAGUAAUGACGACCGAGCGGUGCUACGGACGGCGAUCACCGGGACUGUGAGCAAUGGCCCACCGUGCUAUGACGACACUUAGCAGUGCUACAAGCCAUGUCAAACGGAGCAGGGGGCUGGGAUGGCAACCAUCGGUGUUGUGAGCCGCAGCAGGCGUUCUACAACCAUGGCGAGGCGAUGCUGCAAGCAGUAGUGGGAUGGACCAGUGGUUCUGAUGGACGGUCUGUGCUGCUAUGAAGCAGGACAGUCGGUGCUCCGGCAAUGAUGAUGCUGCAAGGGCGAGGGCAAGCGGCAACAAGACACUGCAGAAAUCUGGGUCUUGUUGGAAGAACUCGAGGUCUGGGUGAUACUGCAUAUGGAGAAACUGGAAACAAAUAUUAAGCCUACAGGGCAGCAACGAGGCAGACAUUCCAGCAAUAGCUUAGCUAAGAUAAGAAGCACAGAGGGUUACGAAGACAGCUCUACAUACAAUUGUACAGUCAAGUAUGACAAAGCACGGUUUCAAAGGUGAAUACAGGAGUUUUCAUUCAUGUUCUCAAGCACAAGCAGAGUCUAUUUAAAACACAAUUUGUGAUACAUAGCAGGUUGGUGCUGCAAAGCGUUCACGAUUGAGCACUGCAGAAACAAAGCAGUCAUUCAGCGCAGGGUGCAGGUGGGCAUGAAGCCGAGUCUCAGAAGAAGUCUGGGUCUUGUUGGAAGAACUCGAGGUCUGGGUGAGUGCUUCCACCUGAAUGCCUUGAACGCCUGCGUCAACAAAAAACCAGGUGGUGGGUAUCAGCUGUUCAUUGGAGUUUCAUCUAGUGAGCACCCCACCCCUAAACACCGGUUGGGUGCAAGUAGAAAUAAGUAUAUCGGUUUCAAUUACAUGUUAGUAAAUUGUGUUCAAUGACUUCCAUGACGCAACAGUAUAUAGAAAUAUGUAUUAUGCUGAAUGUUGCAUUGGAUGUGGAUGCGAGUUAGCUAUCAGCGCGAAAAAAAAGAACUAUAAGCACCAUUUGUUUCUUACUUGAGACAGCAAACCUUUCUAAAGUGGUAUCAAAUACAAUAACAGGCCCUCUCGAGCCUUACCGGUUGCCAAGCAUAAAGUGGGUCUAUAGAAAAUGUUAGGAAUAAUUAACUUACCUCACAAAGCGAGAUGGUUCAAAUCCUGGGACAUCAGGCGGGCCAAUUGGAUCGUAGCGACCACCGGGUGGAACACUCCUAUUGUGAAGUAUUUGAUUCCGUUUAUGACAAAACAAAUACUGCAAUGGAAUAAUUAGUAAAGGAAAACUGAACAUACCCCGGGUCACCAAAAGGAGUAGAAGGAGUUGAAGGAAAGAAGCAUGGAUCAUUUGGGCCUGUAGUAAUCAAAUAGAUUGUAAGUUAGACAGUGCAGCGGAACAAAUGUGAAGAGAUUCCAGAGAUAUUCAGUUGACAACAUAUUACCAACGUGCAUACUACCACCUGUCUCACCACUGCAAACAAUAAGACCCAUUUGUUAGUUAUGUUUGAAAGAACUGAUGUGUUGAUGUUUUUACAUGUAUAUAUUAUGGUAGGAGAGAGACCUAUCAGGGUAGAAGCCUGCACCAGGAGCAGGGAAGGUGUCAUCACGACCAAACAGAACCACUGGAGGAUAAAUCAGGCUGUAACACAAUACAUAACUGGAAAUAUUAGCCCCGUUAUCAAUAUCCUAUAACUAAUUCACUACUGGUAGCCUGUUUAUCCUACAACAGUGAUAGAGAGUGCAAAUUUUGGUAAAACCAAACAUAAUUAAGUUGACAUGAACCCCUUCACUAGGUUGUGCACUACUUGUAAAGAAAAUUAUCAGGAAAUUCAUAGUACUAUGAAGUUUUAAUACAGGCACAUGUACCAAACUUCAAAGGAAAAAUAUAAUCAUAUGCGUGAUGUAGCAAAAGGACAGGAGAGAGAGAGAGAGAGAGAGAGAGAGAGAGAGAGAGAGAGAGAGAGAGAGAGAGNNNNNNNNNNNNNNNNNNNNNNNNNNNNNNNNNNNNNNNNNNNNNNNNNNNNNNNNNNNNNNNNNNNNNNNNNNNNNNNNNNNNNNNNNNNNNNNNNNNNGUUGAGUCAGGUCUGAUUCAUCGGGGAUGAAUCAGAGGCGUGUGAACAUGUCCUACUGUGUGUGAGCUAAGUGUGUGAACACGUUUUGGUAAAGGUAGCGGUGAGAGGCCAUGUAGGAGUACAUGGUGGGUUGUCUCAUUGCAGCCGUCCUCAGGAACUGAGUUCUGUGUUUGUGAUCCACGAUUCAGCUACUACCAUACAUUGGGCCCUGAAAUAUGACCCCGCUCGACUUCUUAUUCACCCUAGUCCUCUGUCCAGGAGUUGCAAGUAGUUUCUGGUGUUUGUAGCUUACUGGAGGCCGUGGACAGCGCUGACCGUAGGGGUGGGCUGUGAUGCGGUAGGUACGUGGCACGGUGUACCGGAUGCCCGUUUGGUAUCUCGGGAACCCUGUUCACAUCGUUUGGGGCUGUGAGCGAAACUCCGGCCGGAUCUCCUCAUGGAUGGAACCCGAAUAGGCAAUAAACCUGUACUAGAGACUUGAGUGUUUAGGUAGGUCGUGGUCUACACCCACGUCGGCUUUCGCUUGAAGUCUGCCGAGCACAUGUCGUGUGCAGACGCUAAGUGGUGGAAACAUGUAUGAAGAAGUACACCCCUGCAGGGUUAACAUCAUCUAUUCGAAUAGCCGUGUCCGCGGAAAAGGACUUCUGGGUUGCUUAUAUCAGUUCAUAGACAAGUGAAAGUGGAUACUCUAAAAUACGCAAGAUAAGCGUGAGUGCUAUGGAUGGCGUUCUCGUAGGGAGACGGGAGCAGAUCCAUAGUGGUGUAUUGAUAUGGUGAAUAUGUGGACUCGUGUGCGCCAUCUCAAAAGAGUUACUUGCAGUCGUAGUUCCGGAUAGCCACCGAGUCAAAGCUGGCUUGCUGCAGUUAAACCCCACCAUCCCUUUGUUGAUAAUGAUGCAUAUGUAGUUAGUUCUGAUGUUAGUCUUGUUGGGUACAUUUGUACUCACGUUUGCCUAUUUUAUGUUUUUGCAGAGAGACUUCGGUCUCACUAGUAGUUUCGCGUGGACUUCGACGUUUAGCUUGUUACCUCAGCUACGAUCUUGUGCCCUCGGCAGGAUCUGAUAGAUAGUCAGGCUUUCAAGCCUUUUUCAUUUAUAGAUGUCUGUACUCAGACAUGAUAGCUUCCGCUUGUGCUUUGAUUUGUAUGCUCUUAUUGUUGGGUCAUGAGACCCAUGUUUGUAAUAUCUCGCUCCUCGGAGUCUAUUGAAUAAAUUACUUGAGUCGUAGAGUCAUGUUGUGAUGCCAUGUUGUGUUUGCACAUAUCGAGCAUAUUGUGUGUAUGUUAUUGAAAUGCUUGGUAUGUGUGGGAUCUGACUAUCUAGUUGUUUAUCUUUAGUAGCCUCUCUUAUCGGGAAAUGUCUCCUAGUGUUUCCACCGAGCCAUGGUAGCUUGCUACUUCUCCAGAACACUUAGGCUGGCCGGCCUGUGUCCUUCUUCGUUCCUGUGUCUGUCCCUUCGGGGAAAUGUCACGCGAUGAAUACCGGAGUCCUGUUAGCCCGCUUCAGCCCGGUUCACCGGAGUCCUGCUAGCCCAGUGCUACAGCCUGGAUUCACUCGCUGAUGACCGACACGUUCAAUGCUGGGUCAUGGAUGCCUGUCCCUGUAAGUCUGUGCCACUUUGGGUUUACGACUAGCCAUGUCAGCCCGGGCUCCUUAUCAUAUGGAUGCUAGCGACACUGUCAUAUACGUGUGCCAAAAGGCGCAAAAUGGUCCCGGGCAAAGGUAACGCGACACCCGUGGGAACACCGUGCGUGAGGCCGCAAAGUGAUAUGAGGUGUUACAUGCUAGAUCGAUGUGGCAUUGAGUCGGGGUCCUGACAGCGUUGGUAUCAGAGCUUGACUGCCUGUAGGAUUACCAAGCCAAACUAAUCGAAGUUGAGUCUAGAAAUUCUUUAGUUAUAUAAGGGAAUUGAUUGUGGGAUGGAACGUAAGGCUCUUUUUACUCCUUAUACUUUAUGCCCUUCUGAUCUGAGUCAUCUUAUCUUUCCUACGGGGAUUAAGAACUAGGCUAUCUCUUCUUUCUAUCAGGAUCACGUGUUACUAAUCCGUAGACUUAUAAGAUUGUUGGAUUUAAGCUUGAGUUCAGUUCCUACUACUUCUGUAUGUUAACUGUUGAUCUCCAAACCUUGAUAUUGUGCCUCUGAGUGGCUAUGCCACCAUUUUUGUAGCAUGUUUCAAAUCUUUUUGAGCAUUUACAGCCGUUAUGCUGUCCGAGUCAUCCAGGUUUCUAAAUAGUCUGAAGCAAUUUGCAAAUCCCUUCUUUCCAUUCCCGAUGUCCUUUUGGUCAGAUUAAUCACACAAAUUAGUGAGUUGAGGUACCUUAUUACCUUGACAUAUAUGUUGGAGAUAUUAUUAUGACCCUAGGUGUCUUAGGGGAUCAUCCAGUAAUUUAGCCAUGAUUUGUGUUCCCAGUGUGAUGAUUCUGGCCAUCAUUCUCGAAAGCAUCCUGUGAUGCUACUUAGUAAUAGGUAUUCUGUUCCUGGGUUCUUGAACCCAAGAUUCACUCUACCUACUUCAUGUUGAUAGUAAUUGCUAGUGCCUUUAGGAUAUUAGUAACUUUGCGAUAGUCCUCGAAGUUCGUGGUAUUUCCUUCUUCCAAAUACUAUGAACCCCUUUAGGGCAGAUAUUAUUGGACCAAAAGAUGACAACAAGAGUGCUCUCGAUGAGUUCUCCAUGCUAUAUUGUGACUCUGCCAGCUCAACCUUUCUGCAUGGGUUAUCCGGAAGAAUUAUGUUGAACCUGGUUCGACAUACUAAUCUAUGCAUCCACAACUCAGAAAGUUAUAUGUUCCUUUGAGUUGUCCCUCUUUAGUUGUCUACUGACCUUCGUCUAUCAAUUGAUAGUCAAGAGUAUGCAUGCAUUCAUUUAUCGAUGCCUAUUACUCUUGUGGUCCGUCAAGCCAUUCUAUCGCGGAAUGACUAGGAGAAACAAACUCCAGUACCUCUUCCAUAUCCAGGAUUGGGUCAAAGAAGUUGUGCUCCGCAGAACAAAUUGCUAAUCCAGCUUUUGCUCUGUUCUACCUUGGAGUAUUACCAUCUUUUAUAUCGGGAUUGUUAUAGGAAUUGCACACCAUCCUAUGAACUCUUGGUACAGUGAUACUUCUCGCCAUCAUUACUCAUUCCUCGGUUCCNNNNNNNNNNNNNNNNNNNNNNNNNNNNNNNNNNNNNNNNNNNNNNNNNNNNNNNNNNNNNNNNNNNNNNNNNNNNNNNNNNNNNNNNNNNNNNNNNNNNGUUACCGGCAAGUCACUUUACUCGUUCCGUAACACAUCAUCCCGUGAUCAACUCCUUGGUCACAUUGCGCAUAUGAUGAUGUCCUACCGAGUGGGCCCAGAGAUACCUCUCCAUUUACACGGAGUGACAAAUCCCAGUCUCGAUCCGCAUAAAACAAUAGAUACUUUCGGAGAUACCUGUAGUGCACCUUUAUAGUCACCCAGUUACGUUGUGACGUUUGAUACACCCAAAGCACUCCUACGGUAUCCAGGAGUUACACGCUCUCAUGGUCGAAGGAAGAGAUACUUGACAUUGGCAAAGCUCUAGCAAAUGAACUACACGAUCUUUUGUGCUAGUCUUAGGAUUGGGUCUUGUCCAUCACAUCAUUCUCCUAAUGAUGUGAUCCCGUUAUCAACGACAUACAAUGUCCAUAGCCAGGAAACCAUGACUAUCUGUUGAUCACAACGAGCUAGUCAACUAGAGGCUCACUAGGGACAUAUUGUGGUCUAUGUAUCCACACGUGUAUUACGAUUUCCGGAUAAUAUAGUUAUAGCAUGAAUAAAAGACAAUUAUCAUGAACAAGGAAAUAUAAUAAUAAUACUUUUAUUAUUGCCUCUAGGGCAUAUUUCCAACAGUCUCCGACUUGCACUAGAGUCAAUAAUCUAGUUCACAUCGCCAUGUGAUUAACACUCACAGGUCACAUCGCCAUGUGACUAAUACCCAAGAGUUUACUAGAGUCAGUAGUCUAGUUCACAUCACUAUGUGAUUAACACUCAAUGAUUUUUAUGUUUGAUCAUGUUGCUUGUGAGAGAGGUUUUAGUCAACGGGUCUGAACCUUUCAGAUCCGUGUGUGCUUUACAAAUCUCUAUGUCAUCUCCUAGAUGCAGCUACCACGCUCUAUUUGGAGCUAUUCCAAACAACUGUUCUACUUGGAGCUAUUCUAAAUUAUUGCUCCAUUAUAUGUAUCCGGUCUCUCUACUCAGAGCUAUCCGGAUAGGUGUCAAGCUUGCAUCGUCGUAACCUUUACGACGAACUCUUUUACCACCUCCAUAAUCAAGAAAAUUCCUUAGUCAACUAGUUACUAAGGAUAACUUUGACCGCUGUUUUGUGAGCCAUUCUUGGAUCACUCUUGUACCCCUUGACUGACUCAUGGCAAGGCACACUUCAGGUGCGGUACACAACAUAGCAUACUGAAGAGCCUACGUCUUAAGCAUAGGGGACGACCUUCGUCCUUUCUCUCUAUUCUGCCGUGGUCGAGCUUUAAGUCUUAACUUCGUACCUUACAACUCAGGCAAGAACUCCUUCUUUGACUGGUCCAUCUUGAACACCUUCAAGAUCAUGUCAAGGUAUGUGCUCAUUUGAAAGUAUUAUUAAGCAUUUUGAUCUAUCCUUAUAGAUCUUGAUGCUCAAUGUUCAAGUAGCUUAAUCCAGGCUUUCCAUUGAAAAACACUUUCAAAAUAGCCCUAUAUGCUUUCCAGAAAUUCUACGUCAUUUCUGAUCAACAAUAUGUCAACAACAUAUACUCAUCAGAAAUUCUAUAGUGCUCCCACUCACUUCUUUGGAAAUACAAGUUUCUCAUAAACUUUGUACAAACCCAAAAUUUUUUGAUCAUCAUCAAAGCAUACAUUCCAACUCUGAGAUGCUCACUCCAGUCCUUAGAAGGAUUGCUGGAGCUUUGCAUACUUAUUAGCAUCUUUCGGGAUUGACAAAACCUUCCGGUUGUAUCACAUACAACCUUUCCUCAUUAAAAUCGUCGAGGAAACAAUGUUUUGACAUCCUAUCUGCAAGAUUUCAUAAAUAAUGUAGUAAUCGCUAAUAUAAUUCCAACAGACUCUUAGCAUCGCUACGAGUGAGAAAAUCUCAUCGUAGUCAACUCCUUGAACUUGUCGGAAAACAUCUUAACGAGAAGUGGAGCUUUCUUAAUGGUGACAUUUACCAUCAUUGUCCAUCUUCCUUUUGAAAUCCAUCUGUACUCAUUAGCCUUACGACCAUCGAGCCGUUCUGCCAAAGUCUACACUUUGUUUUCAUACAUGGAUCCUCUCUCGGAUUUUAUGGCCUCAAGCCAUUUAUCGGAAUCCGGGCCCACCAUCGCUUCUCCAUAGCUCGUAGGUUCAUUGUUGUCUAGCAACAUGACCUUCAAGACAGGAUUACGUACCACUCUGAAGUAGUACGCAUCCUUGUCAUCCUACGAGGUUUGGGAGUGACUUGAUCCGAAGUUUCAUGAUCAAUAUCAUAAGCUUCCACUUCAAUUGGUGUAGGUGCCACAGGAACAACUCCCUGUGCCCUGUCACAGACUAGUUGAAGAGACGGUUCAAUAACCUCAUCAAGUCUCCACCAUCCUCUUACUCAAUUCUUUCGAGAGAAACUUUUCCUCGAGAAAGGACUCGAUUCUAGAAACAAUCCAUAUUGCUUUCGGAUCUGAAUUAGGAGGUAUACCCAACUGUUUUGGGUUUCCUAUGAAGAUGCAUUUUAUCCGCUUUGGGUUCGAGCUUAUAAACCUGAAACUUUUUCAUAUAAGCGUCGCAGCCCCAAACUUUUAAGAAACGACAACUUAGGUUUCUCUAAACCAUAAUUCAUACGGUGUCAUCUCAACGGAAUUACGUGGUGCCCUAUUUAAAGUGAAUGUGGUUAUCUCUAAUUCCUAACCCAUGAACGAUAGUGGUAAUUCGAUAAGAGACAUCAUGGUACGCACCAUAUCCAAUAGGGUGAAACUAUGAUGUUCGGACACACCAUCACAUUAUGGUGUUCCAGGCGGUAUUAAUUGCGAAACAAUUUCCACAAUGUCUUAAUUGUGUGCCAAAACUCGUAACUCAGAUAUUCAUCUCUAUGAUCAUAUCAUAGACAUUUUAUCCUCUUGUCACAAUGAUCUGCUACUUCACUCUGAAAUUACUUGAACCAUUCAAUUAUUCAGACUUGUGUUUCAUCAAGUAAAUAUACUCAACUUUUACUCGAAUCAUCUGUGAAGUAAGAACAUAAUGAUAUUCACUGCAUGCCUCAGCACUCAUUCGACUGCACACAUCAAAAUGUGUUACUUCCAACAAGUUGCUAUCUUGUUCCAUCUUACUGAAAAUGAGGCUUUUCAGUCAUCUUGCCCAUGUGGUAUGAUUUGCAUAUCUCAAGUGAUUCAAAAUCAAGUGAGUCCGAACGAUNNNNNNNNNNNNNNNNNNNNNNNNNNNNNNNNNNNNNNNNNNNNNNNNNNNNNNNNNNNNNNNNNNNNNNNNNNNNNNNNNNNNNNNNNNNNNNNNNNNNUUUUGCUUGCCUGGCACUUCUGAAGAUAACAUUGAGUCUUCAUCAGUGUCAACGAUCACAUCAUCGGUAUCACGUCUAUCGAGAGGGGACAAAUACCGGCAAAUACAGAAAAACACGAUCAAUGCAAUGCACAAUAUGAUGCAUGCUAUGACAUGGCAAUAUGAAUGUGUUUUGGGCUAAUGCACCUAAAACCAGAUUAAAUGAAGUUGGUUUGAAUAUAAAAUUCAAAUUCAAACUCCAUAUGUGAUUAUUCAAAUGCCAUUUAUAUGAUUUGUGCUAAACAGCAUCUAUAAGUUGUUCUAACAUGCAUGAAAAUGGUACAGAUGGAUUCCUUGAAUUUUUCUGAUAAUUUUUCAUAUAUAAUUUAUUUCAUUUGGAGUUACGGUUAAUUUUCUAUGAUUUAUUGAAGUUUUAGCUAUUUUCUGGAAUUUCCUGAAUAUAAUUAAAUCCAGAAAAUACUUUAUGACAUCAGCACUGCGUCAUGCUUGCGUCAGCAAGUCAACAGGGGUCGGUCAGGGUCAAACCUGACAUGUGGGGUCCACACGUCAGUGUCUCAGUCAACUAACCAGGUUAGUUAGCCCUAACUAACUUAGUUAGUCGGGCGGGGCCCGCAUGUCAGUGGCUCACUUAAUUAACUAAAUUAAUUAACACUAAUUAACCUAAUACUAAUUAAGCAGGCGCCUGGGCCCACACGUCAGGGGGUCAAACCCCGGGUCAAACCCGCCGGAGUUGACCCGCGGCUUGUCGCCGGCGAGGCCAGCCGCGGUGGCGAGCCUCGGGUUUGCGUCUCCGGCGACCAAACGGCCGACCGAGUGCACGCGCGGGGAGCUGGGACUCGCCCGCAUCCAGGGAGGCUUGCGGCAGCAGCGGGGACGGCCGGAGCUCGCCGGAAACGAGCUCGAGGCGGCGCCGGCGUUCGGUGGUUUCUGGCUACGGGGCUGCUGCGGCCGUGGUAUCGCGUUCGUGGCACCUACAGCAGCUACGCGAGGCAGCGAGCAUGUUGGACACGACGCCCGGACCAAAUGGUCGCCGGAGUCGUGUCGGCGGUGAGUGCAGGCGGCGACGCAGUCGGGCGAAAGGGGCGAGGCGGCUACGGCGUGCCAGAGAGGGAACGGAGAGGGGGAAAAGGUUCGGUGGCUCACGGCGGUUGCAGCGGACGCCGAAGCAGGCUCGGGGAAGGCCGGACGGCGACGAGUCGAUGAUGGGGAUCCGCGGCGGCCGGCGAUGAAGAAGAGGCCGGUGACGGUGUUUUGAGGCAUCCGGCGUCAAGUGAGUCGACGGGGAGGACGAGGAGGUCGAAGCGGAGCUCCCUGGGGCGUUGGUGAGGCUAGGGGUGGCCGGUGGCCGUGGUUAUGGCGAGCGGCGGCGACGGGGGCGUUCGGGUGUGCGAGAAGGAGAGGCGAAGGAGAGACGAAGGGGACGAGUGAGGGGGUCCAGGGGUUCGGGGCGGCGCCGAAGAGAAGGCCCGAGGCGUCGCGGUGGCGAGGGACGCAGGCAGGCAGGGAGGUGGCGUGUCGCCACGGCGUGCGCGUGCGCUGUCUCCCUCCUCUGCCUACUGGCAGAGGUAGAGGACGACUGGCACCAGGCCAGUGGGCUGGGCUGUCCACUGGGCCAGCCAGGUAAGGCCCAGGUGAGACCCUGUUCUUUUUAUUUUUAUUUCUGUUCUGUUUUGUUUUCUUUUUUUCUUUUCUUUGCCACUGUUUUCAAAUUUAAACAAAUUCAGAACAGUGCCAAAUAUCCUCUGAAUAAUUUAUGUUGCUAGAUGGACUUUUUCCAAAAAGCUCAUAAAAUAUUUCAGGGGUAUUUGAAAUUAUAUUCUAAUUAUAUGAAUAUAAUUCAAAUUCAAAUAGCUAAAGAUUUAAAUUCAAAGUCCCAAAAAUAAAUCCUUAAAAAUGUUCAAUAUUUUGGUUGGGACCAGAACCCUUACCAAAAAUUAUCAAACAUUUAAGAAGAGCCUUUUGGAGCAAUGAAUGAGAUUUCUAGGGUUUUUGCCCCUCUUUUAUUUAGGGUUUUGAGGCUUCCAAUAUUCCUCAAUUCAAGUUUCAAAAAUAUAGACAUGAUGCACACAUGAAGCUAGGCUAGAGCAAUGCCAGAAGCUAGGGAUGUGACAACUCACCCCCACUAAACAAGAAUCUCGUCUCGAGAUUCAAGCAUAGGGUAAGGUGAAGGGGAAACGCAACUAGUAUAAUCUUCACGAUCCAGGUUGCACUUCAUAGGAACGUUGAUUCGAUCACCAUCAUCGUCUUGAAGUCUUGCUCUGAGAAUUCCUGUCAACAUGACAUGGAGGGAAGAAGGAGACUCUAGAAGGGUCGAUCUUCUCGAAGAUCAAACAACUCACGGAAUGAGACAUAACAAUAUCUCUCGAGCUGAGAGACGAAGCACACCUCUAGAGGGAUGGAGUGGAACAGAUGACGAGGGUUCACUAGGUAGACAACAAUUCCACACCUAAGAAGGUGGUAAUCGAUUGUCAACGUAGCGAGGAGUUGAGUUGCCAUGGCACCAUUAUGAUGCACCUUAGGGAAGGUGACUCGAAGAUAUUUCCUUAAGUGGCAAAAAGAAUUACUUUUGAUUCAGAGAUCAUGAAACUCUUUAAACCAGCCUAAGACAAUUCUCGAGCGAUCGUUUGGAGGGGUCAGUAGGAUGGCAUACUCAGACUUGGAUGAUGUGGAUUACCUUGUUGAAGACAACGCAACGGAUGAAUUUGCUUAUCACCGGAAAUGGAUGAGACCCAUGGUAGAAUGGCACAUUGGUGGUGCAAGCUGGGAACAAAAUGCAAAUGCUGGGAAUGAUUCUAGUAACUGGGGAGAGGCUCAACAAUAGAGAGUUAUUCCACUAUUGGAAUGGUUAUAGCAUUGCCGAGGAAACUGAGAGCGCUAUACAGUUAAUGCCGACGAUUAAACCUAGCACUUGCGCGUGCUCUCAAGAACUUGAGCAUUUCCAUAUUCAUCAAGGUUUUACCAACAUCCGUGUCCAGGAUCCUGGCAACACAACUUGCUACCAUGAUGAAUGAUGAUGGAUGAUGCAGAUGCAAAGGAAGAUAACAUCAUCUCAGAUUUCACCCUUGACGGGGCCAAGGAGAUAGAAUCUGGAUGAUCGACCGAGAGACAUUUAGCACUCCGCUUCUAAUGNNNNNNNNNNNNNNNNNNNNNNNNNNNNNNNNNNNNNNNNNNNNNNNNNNNNNNNNNNNNNNNNNNNNNNNNNNNNNNNNNNNNNNNNNNNNNNNNNNNNACAAAUGAUGUUAGAACAUGUUGGAAAUUGAUGACGUUGCUUUGAAUGCUGCAUACUGAAGACAAAAGAAGUCCGAAGUUGAAAUAAGUUUUAAAAACAUUGAAGUGCCCGUGUAACAGAUGAGUUCUUGUCCAAAACCCUGAUACUCCGAAAGAGUUUGUCCAAUUUGUACAUGAAGUGCGUCCAGUUUUUUCCGUGACCCUCUCUACUCUUUCGCACAUGCUAUGCGGGUGAAAUGAUGAUACCAUGCCAAGUUUCAACAUUUUCAGAAUUCAUUUUGUAGUGAUUUUCAAUUUCACGGUCAUUUAGCUCUCUAAACAAUUAGGUAAAUGACCGAAAAACAAAUGAUGUUAGAAAAUGUUGGAAAUUGAUGACGUCGCUUUGAAUGCUGCAUACUGAACACAAAAGAAGUCCGGAGUUCAAAUAAGUUUAAAAAAUAUUGAAGUGCCCGUGUAACAGAUGAGUUCUCGUCCGAAACCCUGAUACUCCGAAAGAGUUUGUCCAAUUUGUACGUGACGUGCAGCAAGUUUUUGCCGUGACCCUCUCUACACUUUCGCANNNNNNNNNNGAGUUCAAAUAAGUUUAAAAAACAUUGAAGUGCCCGUGUAACAGAUGAGUUCUCGUCCGAAACCCUGAUACUUCGAAAGAGUUUGCCCAAUUUGUAUGUGACGUGCGUCAAGUUUUUGCCGUGACCCUCUCUACUCUUUCGCACAUGCUAUGCGGGUGAAAUGAUGAUAUCAUGCCAAGUUUCAACAUUUUUAGAAUUCAUUUUGUAGUGAUUUUCAAUUUCACUGUCAUUUAGCUCUCUAAACAAUUAGGUAAAUGACCAAAAAACUACAAAUGAUGUUAGAACAUGUUGGAAAUUGAUGACGUUGCUUUGAAUGCUGCAUACUGAAGACAAAAGAAGUCCGAAGUUGANNNNNNNNNNGGUAAAUGACCGAAAAACAACAAAUGAUGUUAGAACAUGCUGGAAAUUGAUGACGUCGCUUUGAAUGCUGCAUAUUGAACACAAAAGAAGUCCAGAGUUCAAAUAAGUUUAAAAAACAUUGAAGUGCCCGUGUAACAGAUGAGUUCUCGUCCAAAACCCUGAUACUCCGAAAGAGUUUGUCCAAUUUGUACAUCAAGUGCAUCUAGUUUUUGCAGUGACCCUCUCUACUCUUUUGCACAUGCUAUGCGGGUGAAAUGAUGAUACCAUGCCAAGUUUCAACAUUUUCAGAAUUCAUUUUGUAGUGAUUUUCAAUUUCACGGUCAUUUAGCUCUCUAAACAAUUAGGUAAAUGACCGAAAAAAACAAAUGAUGUUAGAACAUGUUGGAAAUUGAUGACGUCGCUUUGAAUGCUACAUACUGAACACAAAAGAAGUCCGGAGUUCAAAUAAGUUUAAAAAACAUUGAAGUGCCCGUGUAACAGAUGAGUUCUCGUCCGAAACCCUGAUACUCCGAAAGAGUUUGCCCAAUUUGUACGUGACGUGCGUCAAGUUUUUGCCGUGACCCUCUCUACUCUUUCGCACAUGCUAUGCGGGUGAAAUGAUGAUAUCAUGCCAAGUUUCAACAUUUUUAGAAUUCAUUUUGUAGUGAUUUUCAAUUUCACUGUCAUUUAGCUCUCUAAACAAUUAGGUAAAUGACCAAAAAACAACAAAUGAUGUUAGAACAUGUUGGAAAUUGAUGACGUUGCUUUGAAUGCUGCAUACUGAAGACAAAAGAAGUCCGAAGUUGAAAUAAGUUUUAAAAACAUUGAAGUGCCCGUGUAACAGAUGAGUUCUUGUCCAAAACCCUGAUACUCCGAAAGAGUUUGUCCAAUUUGUACAUGAAGUGCGUCCAGUUUUUUCCGUGACCCUCUCUACUCUUUCGCACAUGCUAUGCGGGUGAAAUGAUGAUACCAUGCCAAGUUUCAACAUUUUCAGAAUUCAUUUUGUAGUGAUUUUCAAUUUCAGGGUCAUUUAGCUCUCUAAACAAUUAGGUAAAUGACCGAAAAAACAAAUGAUGUUAGAAAAUGUUGGAAAUUGAUGACGUCGCUUUGAAUGCUGCAUACUGAACACAAAAGAAGUCCGAAGUUCAAAUAAGUUUAAAAAACAUUGAAGUGCCCGUGUAACAGAUGAGUUCUCGUCCGAAACCCUGAUACUCCGAAAGAGUUUGUCCAAUUUGUACGUGACGUGCAGCAAAUUUUUGCCGUGACCCUCUCUACUCUUUCGCACCUGCUAUGCGGGUGAAAUGAUGAUACCAUGCCAAGUUUCAACAUUUUCAGAAUUCAUUUUGUAGUGAUUUUCAAUUUCACGGUCAUUUAGCUCUCUAAAUAAUUAGGUAAAUGACCGAAAAAAACAAAUGAUGUUAGAACAUGUUGGAAAUUGAUGACGUUGCUUUGAAUGCUGCAUACUGAACACAAAAGAAGUCCAGAGUUCAAAUAAGUUUAAAAAACAUUGAAGUGCCCGUGUAACAGAUGAGUUCUCGUCCGAAACCCUGAUACUUCGAAAGAGUUUGCCCAAUUUGUAUGUGACGUGCGUCAAGUUUUUGCCGUGACCCUCUCUACUCUUUCGCACAUGCUAUGCGGGUGAAAUGAUGAUAUCAUGCCAAGUUUCAACAUUUUUAGAAUUCAUUUUGUAGUGAUUUUCAAUUUCACUGUCAUUUGGCUCUCUAAACAAUUAGGUAAAUGACCAAAAAACUACAAAUGAUGUUAGAACAUGUUGGAAAUUGAUGACGUUGCUUUGAAUGCUGCAUACUGAAGACAAAAGAAGUCCGAAGUUGACAUAAGUUUAAAAAACAUUGAAGUGCCCGUGUAACAGAUGAGUUCUUGUCCAAAACCCUGAUACUCCGAAAGAGUUUGUCCAAUUUGUACACGAAGUGCGUCCAGUUUUUGCCGUGACCCUCUCUACUCUUUCGCACAUGCUAUGCGGGUGAAAUGAUGAUACCAUGCCAAGUUUCAACAUUUUCAGAAUUCAUUUUGUAGUGAUUUUCAAUUUCACGGUCAUUUAGCUCUCUAAACAAUUAGGUAAAUGACCGAAAAAACAAAUGAUGUUAGAACAUGUUGGAAAUUGAUGACGUUGCUUUGAAUGCUGCAUACUGAACACAAAAGAAAUCCGGAGUUCAAAUAAGUUUAAAAAACAUUGAAGUGCCCGUGUAACAGAUGAGUUCUNNNNNNNNNNNNNNNNNNNNNNNNNNNNNNNNNNNNNNNNNNNNNNNNNNNNNNNNNNNNNNNNNNNNNNNNNNNNNNNNNNNNNNNNNNNNNNNNNNNNGAAUCAGCCAAAACUGCGAGUGUUGUUGACCAACAUGUAAGCACAUCUUGGGGUUCAACAACUAUGGAAAUCGUGACGGGACCCCAAAACGGUGAGUAAUAGUCCGCGAAACAGGUCAGAAUUGGCCAAAACUGUGAGUGUUGAUGACGGACACAUAAACGCACCCCGGGGCUCAUCAAUCGUGGAAAUCGCUCUGGGUCCCCAAAACGCUGAGUAAUAGUGCACGGAACAGACUUGAAUCUGCCGAAUAUGUGAGUGUUGAUGACCGACACGUAAGCGCACCUUGGAGUUCGACAAUCAUGGAAAUCGCUUUAGGACCCCAAAACGGUGAGUAAUAGUCCAUGAAACGGGCCAGAAUCGGCCAAAACUGGGAGUGUUGAUGACCAACUCGUAAGCACACCUUGGGGUUCAACAACUAUGAAAAUUGCUUCGGGGCCCCCAAAACGGUGAGUAAUAGUCCACGAAACAGGUCGGAUUUGGCCAAAACUGUGAGUGUUGACGACGGACACAUAAACGCACCCCGGGGUUCAUCAAUCGUGGAAAUCGCUCUGGGUCCCCAAAACGUUGAGUAAUAGUGCACGGAACGUAUUAGAAUUGGCCGAAUAUGUGAGUGUUGAUGACCGACACGUAAACGCACCCCGGGGUUCGUCAAUCGUGGAAAUGACUCCGAGACCCCAAAAUAGAGUAAUAGUCCAAGAAACGGGCCAGAAUCGGCCCAAACUGUGAUUGUUGAUGACCGACACGUAAGUGCACCUUGGAGUUUGACAACCAUGGAAAUCGCUUUGGGACCCAAAAAGGUGAGUAAUAGUCCAUGAAAUGGGCCAGAAUCGGCCAAAACUGCGAGUGUUGUUGACAAACACGUAAGCAGACCUUGGGGUUCAACAACUAUGAAAAUCGCUUCGGGGCCCCCAAAACAGUGAGUAAUAGUCCACGAAACAGGUCAGAUUUGGCCAAAACUGUGAGUGUUGACGACGGACACAUAAACGCACCCCGGGGUUCAUCAAUCGUGAAAAUCGCUCUGGGUCCCCAAAACGCUGAGUAAUAGUGCACGGAACGUAUUACAAUAGGCCGAAUAUGUGAGUGUUGAUGACCGACACGUAAACGCACCCCGGGGUUCGUCAAUCAUGGAAAUGACUCCGAGACCCCAAAAUAGAGUAAUAGUCCAAGAAACGGGCCAGAAUCGACCCAAACUGUGAUUGUUGAUGACUGACACGUAAGUGCACCUUGGAGUUUGACAACCAUGGAAAUCGCUUUGGGACCCGAAAACGGUGAGUAAUAGUCCAUGAAACAGGCCAGAAUCGGCCAAAACUGCGAGUGUUGUUGACCAACACGUAAGCACACCUUGGGGUUCAACAACUAUGAAAAUCGCUUCGGGGCCCCCAAAACGGUGAGUAAUAGUCCACGAAACAGGUCAGAUUUGGCCAAAACUGUGAGUGUUGAUGACGGACACAUAAACGCACCCCGGGGUUCAUCAAUCGUGAAAAUCGCUCUGGGUCCCCAAAACGCUGAGUAAUAGUGCACGGAACGUAUUAGAAUAGGCCGAAUAUGUGAGUGUUGAUGACCGACACGUAAACGCACCCCGGGGUUCGUCAAUCAUGGAAAUGACUCCGAGACCCCAAAAUAGAGUAAUAGUCCAAGAAACGGGCCAGAAUCGACCCAAACUGUGAUUGUUGAUGACUGACACGUAAGUGCACCUUGGAGNNNNNNNNNNAAUGACUCCGAGACCCCAAAAUAGAGUAAUAGUCCAAGAAACGGGCCAGAAUCGACCCAAACUGUGAUUGUUGAUGACUGACACAUAAGUGCACCUUGGAGUUUGACAACCAUGGAAAUCGCUUUGGGACCCGAAAACGGUGAGUAAUAGUCCGCGAAACAGGUCAGAAUUGGCCAAAACUAUGAGUGUUGAUGACGGACACAUAAACGCACCCCGGGGUUCAUCAAUCGUGGAAAUCGCUCUAGGUCCCCAAAAUGUUGAGUAAUAGUGCACGGAACGUAUUAGAAUCGGCCGAAUAUGUGAGUGUUGAUGACCGACACGUAAACGCACCCCGGGGUUCGUCAAUCGUGGAAAUGACUCCGAGACCCCAAAAUUGAGUAAUAGUCCAAGAAACGGGCCAGAAUCGGCCCAAACUGUGAUUGUUGAUGACCGACACGUAAGUGCACCUUGGAGUUUGACAACCAUGGAAAUCGCUUUNNNNNNNNNNGAGUAAUAGUCCGCGAAACAGGUCAGAAUUGGCCAAAACUAUGAGUGUUGAUGACGGACACAUAAACGCACCCCGGGGUUCAUCAAUCGUGGAAAUCGCUCUAGGUCCCCAAAACAUUGAGUAAUAGUGCACGGAACGUAUUAGAAUCGGCCGAAUAUGUGAGUGUUGAUGACCGACACGUAAACGCACCCCGGGGUUCGUCAAUCGUGGAAAUGACUCCGAGACCCCAAAAUUGAGUAAUAGUCCAAGAAACGGGCCAGAAUCGGCCCAAACUGUGAUUGUUGAUGACCGACAUGUAAGUGCACCUUGGAGUUUGACAACCAUGGAAAUCGCUUUGGGACCCAAAAACGGUGAGUAAUAGUCCAUGAAACGGGCCAGAAUCGGCCAAAACUGCGAGUGUUGUUGACCAACACGUAAGCACACCUUGGGGUUCAACAACUAUGAAAAUUGCUUCGGGGCCCCCAAAACGGUGAGUAAUAGUCCACGAAACAGGUCAGAUUUGGCCAAAACUGUGAGUGUUGACGACGGACACAUAAACGCACCCCGGGGUUCAUCAAUCGUGAAAAUCGCUCUGGGUCCCCAAAACGCUGAGUAAUAGUGCACGGAACGUAUUAGAAUAGGCCGAAUAUGUGAGUGUUGAUGACCGACACGUAAACGCACCCCGGGGUUCGUCAGUCAUGGAAAUGACUCCGAGACCCCAAAAUAGAGUAAUAGUCCAAGAAACGGGCCAGAAUCGACCCAAACUGUGAUUGUUGAUGACUGACACGUAAGUGCACCUUGGAGUUUGACAACCAUGGAAAUCGCUUUGGGACCCGAAAACGGUGAGUAAUAGUCCAUGAAACGGGCCAGAAUCAGCCAAAACUGCGAGUGUUGUUGACCAACAUGUAAGCACAUCUUGGGGUUCAACAACUAUGGAAAUCGUGACGGGANNNNNNNNNNNNNNNNNNNNNNNNNNNNNNNNNNNNNNNNNNNNNNNNNNNNNNNNNNNNNNNNNNNNNNNNNNNNNNNNNNNNNNNNNNNNNNNNNNNNCCCCAGGUGGGCUGGUGCGCCCCCCCACCAAGGCCCAAGGCGCAUGGGAGAGUGGGAGGGGGCAAACCCUAGGUCCAGAUGGGCCUUAGGGCCCAUCUAGUGGGGCGCCCCCCCUCCUCCCCUUGGCCGCCCCCCUUGAUGGGAUCUAGGGCUGGCCGCCUCCUCUUGGGGGUGGAAACCCUAAGGGGGGCGCAGCCCCCUCCCCCAUAUAUAUAGUCGAGGUUUGGGCUGCCCAAGACACACGAGAACGUCUCUCUUUUGGUGCAGCCCUACCCCUCUCCCUCCUCCUCCUCUCCCGCGGUGCUUGGCGAAGCCCUGCGGGAUUGCCACGCUCCUCCAUCACCACCACUCCGUCGUGCUGCUGCUGGAUGGAGUCUUCCCCAACCUCUCCCUCUCACCUUGCUGGAUCAAGGCGUGGGAGACGUCACCGGGCUGCACGUGUGUUGAACGCGGAGGCGCCGUGGUUCGGCGCUUAGAUCGGAAUCAACCGCGAUCUGAAUCGCUUCGAGUACGACUCCCUCAUCCGCGUUCUUACAACGCUUCCGCAUCGCGAUCUACAAGGGUAUGUAGAUGCACUCUCCUUCCCCUCGUUGCUAGAUCACUCCAUAGAUUGAUCUUGGUGAUGCGUAGAAAAUUUUGAAUUUCUGCUACGUUCCCCAACAGUGGCAUCAUGAGCUAGGUCUAUGCGUAGUUUCUAUGCACGAGUAGAACACAAAGUAGUUGUGGGCGUAGAUGUUGCCAAUUCUUCUUGCCGUUACUAGUCUGAUCUUGUUUCGGCGGCAUUGUGGGAUGAAGCGGCCCGGACCGACCUUACACGUACGCUUACGUGAGACAGGUUCCACCGACUGACAUGCACUAGUUGCAUAAGGUGGCUAGCGGGUGUCUGUCUCUCCCACUUUAGUCAGAACGGAUUCGAUGAAAAGGGUCCUUAUGAAGGGUAAAUAGAAAUUGGCAUAUCACGUUGUGGUUUUAUGUAGGUAAGAAACGUUCUUGCUAGAAACCUAAACAAGCCACGUAAAAACUUGCAACAACAAUUAGAGGACGUCUAACUUGUUUUUGCAGCAUGUGCUAUGUGAUGUGAUAUGGCCAGAAGAUGUGAUGAAUGAUAUAUGUGAUGUAUGAGAUUGAUCAUAUUCUUGUAAUAGGAAUCACGACUUGCAUGUCGAUGAGUAUGACAACCGGCAGGAGCCAUAGGAGUUGUCUUUAUUUUUUGUAUGACCUGCGUGUCAUUGAAUAACGCCAUGUAAAUUACUUUACUUUAUUGCUAAGCGCGUUAGCCAUAGAAGUAGAAGUAAUCGUUGGAGAUCAUGAUGAUGGAGAUCAUGGUGUCAUGCCGGUGACAAAGAUGAUCAUGGUGCCCCGAAGAUGGAGAUCAAAGGAGCAAAAUGAUAUUGGCCAUAUCAUGUCACUAUUUGAUUGCAUGUGAUGUUUAUCAUGUUAUGCAUCUUAUUUGCUUAGAACGACGGUAGUAAGUAAGAUGAUCCCUCACUAAAAUUUCAAGAGAAGUGUUCCCCCUAACUGUGCACCGUUGCAAAGGUUCGUUGUUUCGAAGCACCACGUGAUGACCGGGUGUGAUAGAUUCUAACGUUCGAAUACAACGGGUGUUGACGAGCGUAGCAUGUACAGACAUGGCCUCAGAACACAUGCGAAACACUUAGGUUGACUUGACGAGCCUAGCAUGUACAGACAUGGCCUCGGAACACAAGAUACCGAAAGGUCGAGCAUGAGUCGUAUAGAAGAUACGAUCAACAUGGAGAUGUUCACCGAUGAUGACUAGUCCGUCUCACGUGAUGAUCGGACACGGCCUAGUUUGACUCGGAUCAUGUAUCACUUAGAUGACUAGAGGGAUGUCUAUCUGAGUGGGAGUUUAUAAUUAGAUGAACUUCAUUAUCAUGAACAUAGUCAAAAGGUCUUUACAAAUUAUGUCAUACGCUUUAGUUCUACUGUUUAAGAUAUGUUCCUAGAGAAAAUUUAGUUGAAAGUUGGUAGUAGCAAUUAUGCGGACUGGGCCCGUAAACUGAGGAUUGUCCUUAUUGCUGCACAGAAGGCUUAUGUCCUUAAUGCACCGCUCGGUGUGCUGGCCUCAGCGUCGUCUGUAGAUGUUACGAAACAUCUGGCAUACACGUUUUGAUAACUACGUGAUAGUUCAGUGCGUAAUGCUAACGGUUUAGAAUUGUGGCACCAAAGACGGUUUUUGAAACGUCGCAGAACAUGUGAGAUGUUCCGAAGACUAAAAUUGGGAUUUCAGACUAGUGCCCACGUCAAGAGGUAUGAGACCUCUGACAAGUUUCUUAAGCCUGCAGACUAAGGGAGAGAAGCUCAAUCGUUGAGCAUGUGCUCAGAUUGUCUGAGUGCCACAAUCGCUUGAAUCGAGUGGGAGUUAAUCUUCCAGAUGAGAUAGUGAUGGUUCUCCAUAGUCACUGCCACCAAGCUAUUAGAGCUUCGUGAUGAACUAUAACAUAUCAGGGAUAGACAUGAUGAUCCUUGAGCAACUCGCGAUGUUUGACACCGCGAAAGUAGAAAUCAAGAAGGAGCAUCAAUUGUUGAUAUUUAGUAAAACCACUAGUUUCUAGAAGGGCAAGGGCAAAAGGGAUACUUCAUGAAACAACAAAUCAUUUGCUGCUCUAGUAAAGAAUCCCAAGGUUGAACCCAAACCCGAGACUAAGUGCUUCUGUAAUGAGGGAACGGUCACUGAAGCAGAACUACCCUAGAUACUUGGUAGAUGAGAAGGCAGGCAAGGUCGACAGAAGUAUAUUGGAUAUACAUUAUAUGAAUGUGUACUUUACUAGUACUCCUAGCAGCACCAGGGUAUUAGAUACCAGUUCGGUUGCUAAGUGUUAGUAACUCGAAAUAAAAGCUGCGGAAUAAACGGAGACUAGCUAAAGGUGAGAUGACGAUAUGUGUUGGAAGUGUUUCCAAGGUUGAUGUGAUCAAGCAUCGCAUGCUCCCUCUACCAUCGAGAUUUGGUGUUUGCGUUGAGCAUGAUUGGAUUAUGUUUAUCGCAAUACGGUUAUUCAUUUAAGGAGAAUAAUGGUUACUCUGUUUAUUUGAAUAAUACCUUCAAUGGUCUUGCACCUAAAAUGAAUCUCGAUCGUAGUGAUACACAUGUUCAUGCCAAAAGAUAUAANNNNNNNNNNNNNNNNNNNNNNNNNNNNNNNNNNNNNNNNNNNNNNNNNNNNNNNNNNNNNNNNNNNNNNNNNNNNNNNNNNNNNNNNNNNNNNNNNNNNCCGCCGCCGAAGAAUAACAGGAGGUCUGUGUGAGUAGAGGGAUGGCUAGGCCAGCAAUGGGAGUACGGUGGGGCGGUGAGGCCUGCGUGGCAGCACUGCCGGCCGCGGGGUGUCUAGCUUGCAUUGCUUCUUAUUUGUUGAAAUAGUUUCUGCUUAGUGUACACAAACAGUCGUGAAUUUGCCAUGCCGUCCUAUUUUUCAUAUUAUUCCAUCCUGGUAUCAUGUGUUUGCCUUACAUCAAAGUAGUGAUUGUCAGUACCAUGCAUGAAUGAGUUCCGAAGAGUGAAUUUUAUUGCUUUUUCUUGUCGUAUUUACUUGACAAUUCAAAAUCAAUAAAGCGGAAGGAAGUUAGCAAGGCAGCGGAUAAAGGUGCUCCUUCCAAACUGAGGGCCUCUACAGAUUCUAUUCCUCCAUCCCCCCAAGAUGAUUUCCAAGACAACACAUGCAUAGACACUCAACGUAGCUGUGUUGAUGAUGAGCACGUCUCCCCAAGUGCACCAUCACACGUGCUCCCUCUAACUUGGCACUGUUAUAUGUGGUUGCAUGUUAUGUAUGAUGUCUAGCUUGUAUUGCUUCUAAUUUUGUUGAAUUCCAUCUGCUUACUUUACACAUUAUACUUGUGAAUAAGACACAUGUUCCUGUUUCUAUAACAUACAAUAUCCAUCUAUCGCACCAUGUUCUUACAACAAAGUACUACUGUUGUGUAACCUGCAAUAAUCACUUAUCAUAAGACACGUUUGACUUGGGAGUGUGAUAUAGGUUACAUCUCACAUUCUUUUCUACCUUGUACUACUUCUAAUUUGUUGAAAUGGCACUUAUGAUGAGACAGUUUUAACUUGGUAUAGUGAUAUUCGUUGCAUCUUUCAUAUGGUGUAUAGCUUUCAUUGCUUCUAAUUUGUUGAAAUGCCUUCUCCUUAGUUUACACAUCAUAAGUUGUGAAAAUAUGCAAUGGCACUAAUGACGAGAUACCUUUAACUUGGUAGUGUGAUGUUGUUUGCAUCUUGCAUAUGAUUUAUUUCUUGUACUGCUUCACAUUUUUAAAACGCCAUUUAUGAUGAGACACUGUUAACUUGGCAGAGCGAUAUUUGUAGCAUCUUUCAUGUGGUGUCUACCUUCCAUUGCAUUGCUUCUAAUUUAGUGAAAUGUCUUCUGCUUAGUUUACACGUCAUAGUUCUGGUUAUCUCAUGCCAUCCUGUUUUUUGUACAUAUUAAAUCCUCCUAUCAUGUGGUUGUCUAACAUCAAAGUUCAGUUCGUCUGUAUCACGCAUCAAUUUGUUCCGAAGAACUAAAUUGUUAUUCGUUUUUCUUGUCGGCUUGACUUAACAUGGCACAGAGAAAGAGGAAGCAACACAGAUUGACAGGGAAAGGGAAGUGGAAGAAUCCUGCAGAUUCUGCUGGUACUGAUGGUGCAAUAGAAGGUCAAAUUCCAGCGGAAAAUUGUACAAACAGGGUAUCCCGUGCUACACAAGGUGCAGAACAAGCCAAACAGAAACAAAUAGCUGCCACCAAACAAGCAGAGACAGCCCUAGUUGUUGCAACACCUUCCACCAUACCACCAGUUGCACGAUUUACUCGUUGGCCAACUCAGCUAGCAGCACCUUCAUGAGCUCCCUUGCCACCUGACACUACUUCCGAAGCACUCUUGACACAAGAUGAGUUGGCAAGAUCAGAUGAACUUUUUGAGCUUCAGCAGGAAGAAGGUAGUUGCUGGAGUCAAGUUACAGUUGCAUGCUUCUAUAUAUGUAGUCUCACAGUUCGAUGUACACUAACACUUCCUUUGUUCGUUGUUGGACUAGCGCUUAGGCGCAAGAGGAAACAAACAUCAGGGAUAAUGUUCGAUAGGUUAACUAAAUCUAGAGGAGGAAGAAUGGAGAUCCAUUUUGAGGCAGGCUUAAAAAGGCCACGUGAUGCUACACAGUUGGCCAAGUUAGUAUCAAAGGCAGCAGUUGCCAUUAGGUGUCAUGUACGUAUCCUCCCAACAUGGAUUUAGUAUAGGAAUGAAAAAGACGAAACCCAGUUCAACACCUUCCUCGACAAUUUAUCUGUAAGUAUGGUUAUGUGGAAACUAGUAAUAUCGUCUUGCUCUGUCCCAUUCUUUCUAGGUUGAUGAUAAUGAGACUCCCAUAAUUUUCAACAGGUGAGGUUCAAGUUGGAUAGAGAAGAUGAUGCAACCAGGCAAGCUUGCACCCAUGUUUUCAAGUCUGCUCUGCGACAGUAUCGGUAUAACUUGAGGAAAACUCACUCUGAAGGUAAGGCUAACAGUGAACUUGCCCAAACAUCACCAGUGGAAAAUAUAUCGGAUGAAGACUGAAGGGGCCUCGUUAAACACUGGUCUGAUCCGAAGUAUCAGGUACAUUAUAUAUAUAUAUGUGAUCAGAUCACAUGUUGAAGUCCUAUUUACGCAUGUGCCACACAAAUCUAUCUUCUUGUAGGUGAACUGUUCAAAGAACAAGGCCAGCCAACUGUAGCUAUAUUGCACACUACGAGGCUCUUGUAAUUAGCUGUUGUUUCACUCUUUUUGUUGUACCAUAUUAUCAGAUCUAUAUUGACUUGUUCCAAAUGCAGAGGAAAGCCCGCAAGGACCAAAAAGUAUCUGAACCAAAUGUUGUGGAAAUCUUCAAGGACUGUCACACCAGCAAGACGAAGGGCAUGACUACACCAGUCAAAGCCGUUGCUGUAAGUCAUUAAUCCUCAUGCAUUUUAACUACUACUUACUCUAACUUGUGCCUUGAACUGCAUGUUUGCAGCUAAUGUCUAUUACUCAUUUCAAUUUUAUACACAGUUGUCUUAGCGUAUCAUUGCACCUUAAAAAGUUUACAAGAGAGGAGUGAUGUUCCUUCGAUCUUGACCUAUAAUCUAGUUCCAUGCUGGACUUGCCCACACAAUGUUACAAUUGCUUGUUUGUCUAUUCUCAGUUGUUUUGUGAUAUGAAUGAUGUCAUACUAUGCUUACCGUAUUAUAUACUAUGUCUCUAUCCUUAGCUGUCAAUACAAUGUGAAGAAAUAGACAAUACAUUAGCCAUGUUACAUGGUCAUAAAUUUGGAACCUGGUUUUAUUAUGUACUUUGUAGUAAAAUACAACUAAUAUUUUACAUGGGUUCACCUAAAUUAGUUCUGUAUAUAGACCGNNNNNNNNNNNNNNNNNNNNNNNNNNNNNNNNNNNNNNNNNNNNNNNNNNNNNNNNNNNNNNNNNNNNNNNNNNNNNNNNNNNNNNNNNNNNNNNNNNNNGGCAGCGUGGAGGGCGUCCAGGUGGGCUGCAAGGACGAGGAGAUCAACAUUGACGAGUGGAGGAGUGCCUUCCCCAAUGACCCCGAUGACGGACCCGGCCCGGACCCGACUCGUGGCACACCGUACCUGACGAGGAAGGAUUAGCUUGACCUAUACUUCGACCGAAAGUAGUUUAGCUUAGUUUAAAUUUAUGUUUUAUGUUCAGUUAUGCAAAUUUAUCUAUGUUUCUGUUUGAAUCCAUGCUACUUUCGGUUGAACCUGCUUUGAACUCGAUCAAAUUGAUGUUUACAACAUUAAGUUUAGGCGAUCGACUAGAAACGGCCAAAAAAUGCUGGAGUAUAUAUAUAUAUCCACCAAUUGUUUUAGUCCUUUAACUUUUAAAGGAUCGGCUAGAGAUGGCCUUAUGCCUUGUUUAUUUCAGUUCUUCACAAUGUGAUGCUCUAUAUGUGCAACUAUUUGCCGUGCAAUUCAAUUUCAUCAAUAACAGUUUCAACAAUACCACUAUGAAUUAUGAUAUUUGGUUCUUGUUAAGGAUAUUGUAGUUAACAUGCCUUUUCGUUUUUUUAACAAUAAGUAGUGUACUUUAGACCUGCACAAUACCAAUUUGAUGACUAUUUGCUUGUUUGUAAAUGUUAUGCCUGAUGCAGUUAACACACCUUUCCACUUCUUGUUUUGCUUAACUAGCGUGCUUAAGCCUGCACACUAAAGCUAUCAUUUGUAGAUUAUGUUGUCUACCAUGGAUAUAUUUGGUUGAUGUUUAGCCUGUUGUGCUUAACAUGCCUUUAUAUGUACUCAUACAUGACAACGUUGAGAACAGUGCUGUUUUUUCCAUCGAGGUUAGGUUCAUCGCAUUGCUUAUAUGUACUCACUAUUCAGGAUCUCGGUAGCUGGUACCGUAUAGCUUGGGGGCUGAUAAGGGAUUAAUCGUCGAAUCGGACAUUUCACUAAAUAUAUCUGUAACCCAUUUAUCAGUAGGUUAACUAGGCCAUAUUUAAUAUAUUUGAGGCUACAUUGCAACAUGCAUUGUAAUGAAUGACUAAAUAUGCAAUCCCAGGCUACAUUGCAACAAGGAAGAGUGUUACCUUAAUGUUCGUGUUACCUUAAUGUUUUGAUGAUGUCUAUAUAUACGUGUAUAAAAUGUUAUAUAAUGGGAUGGAGGGAGUGUUGUACUACAUCAUUUUGUAAUUGUUGUUUAGCUUCUAAUAUUAACUUGGUGCUUUUAGGUACACAUGUCAUUGCCAAAAAUCCACACUUCGACCCUUUCUGCGUAUGUGGUAAUGAGAUAUUCAUGAACGAGCAUCAAGUGAGGAAGGUGAUAAAGAUUAUUAUUAAAAUGGGUCAAAAGAUGUUAAUCGAACUAUAUGUUUACACUUUAUGCAAGACAAAAGUGAACUGUUGGAUGGUAAGCAAGAACCCUGUAGCCGUCUUUUUACUGCCCGUAAUGAGUUGUGUUUGAUGACAAUGUUUGAAUCUUUUUUCCUUUGCAGUGGAUCCUGAGGCAGUUUAAUCAAGAUUACCUCUCAAACUACAUGAUUAGCGGACGACAAUCACAGGGGGUUGGACUAGACUCGUGCGUUCCUUCUGCAUCCAGGAGAGCAUAAUAAGUCCAUUCCGCUUCACCUUAUUCAGCAACUAGAAUGUCUGUCGCCUCUUUCUUUACCAUCUGUAAUAGUACAAGUAUAGAACCCUGGUUCAUCAUUCUUUAUUUGGUGCUUAUGUAAUUCUUAAACAUAUGUACCUGUGAAUUGAAUAUUGCAUUGGUUGUUUGAACCUGAUGGAUAUGAAUAAAGCUAUAGCCUACUUUCAAGUUUAAAUUUGGUACAAUUUUAAAUAGCAACAAUUACAUUAGGGCGAAACUACAGUGUGCGGGUCAUUACGGCGCACACGGUUAAUAAAGCACAACGUGUGCGAUAUAAAUCAUAAUCCGACAUGGUUCACGGAGUGGAAACGUGUGUAACAAUGCACACAAUUGCUGCUUGCAAAGCUUGUGUGAUGUCAGACACUAUCGCAUACAGUGCGGGAAAACUAAAUGUUUGUGAAUGUCUACCUAGCUUACACGGUUUAUAAUCAUGAACUGUUUGUGAUGUGCCAGGCAUCGUAAACGUAGAGCCGUGCCUAAAAUACUCCCGUGCCUAGAAUCUGCCUGGGUUUAGGUAAAAACCACAAAACUCCGACUAUGAUGGCAAUGCCAGCACAAACCAGUAGCAAGGAUGAAUUGUUUCAUAUAUGCGAGACAUCGUAAACGGUUAUAGAGGGGCAACUGUAUGCAUGAAGGCUCCCUAUCCUCGAUGGUUUCUGUGUUGUGGGGGAAACACCCCCAAUCACCCACACUCACUAGGUGAUGGUUCCAAAUGCCGUCGCGGAAAGGGGUUUUAAACUUGUUGUAUAGCACCAACACGUACCAGUGAAAUCACAUAUCUCAAUGAGUGUGUUUCUUAUAUCUGUGUCCAUCAGAUUCUUGAUGAACAUCGGGAGGAUUUGUGUCAACAUUACGUGGAAAUCAUGUGACUUCAUGUGUCCCAACUUCAUUUUACCUGAGCUUGCAUUCACGAGACUUCUGAUGUUUGUGGAGUAGGAAGAGGGUGUCUUACCUAACAACAAAGAGUUGAAGAACUCUGUUGCUUCUUUUCUAUUGAAAUCGCAAGAGCAUCUCCACUCAUUCAGCCCCCAGCUAACCCGCUGAUUAUGGUUUGGCCCUUCGGCAGACGCUUUAUUGGACCUGGGGCAAUCCAGUUCCCAGCCACGCCCCCAGGUUUCGGGCCCAAGACGCGUAUAAAUUCAAACUUGACAUUUCCCGCAACCCAAGAAAAUGCCACAAGUUCGAUAAUCAACAGCUGCCACUAAGUUCGGCGAUCACCAUGCCACAGUUGGGCAAUCAAUCAUACUCAAAAGUUCAGCAUUCAAAAGGAAGGACACGUAGGCAAUGCAUCAAAUGGCGGCGUGCUCCACCGUGUUGGACUGUCGGGAGUCGGCGUGCUCGGGUUGGUCGGUGUCGGUGUCAGUGUCAAAACCGGCAGAUCUCGGGUAGGGGGGCCAAGCUAUGAGUCUGAGGAUCAAUGGUAACAAGGGACAAUGGAACACAAUGUUUACCCAGGUUCGGGCCCUCUUAAAGGAGGUAAAACCCUAUNNNNNNNNNNNNNNNNNNNNNNNNNNNNNNNNNNNNNNNNNNNNNNNNNNNNNNNNNNNNNNNNNNNNNNNNNNNNNNNNNNNNNNNNNNNNNNNNNNNNUGCAGGCAAUAUGAACGAGAUGGGGUAGAAAUAAAUCACUUACAGAACGUAGCAACUGAUGAUAGAUUUGUCGAGCUCGCGCAGAUUGAAAAGCUGGAACAAUUCACUCAGAUGAAUUUGUACAUAGUAAUGUUUGAAGUGAUGCUCAUAUCUAACUUCCGCAUAAAUAUAUUCUUUGGCGUUUUUAUUUUUUAUGUAACCCUUGUACCAUUUCAGCAGACCUUUCAUUUGUGGAGGUAGAUCCUCUUCCUGCGCAGGCUCGACGAGAGGCCCAUUCUUCACAUAUGUAAUUACUACCUCCUUCACUGGCGCCUCAUCAAGGCCUAACAGUUCACGAAGAGUAAUACCUAAGUUGGCCGCUUGUUCUCUGGCACUCGUUACAGUCAAUCCAUGUGCUGCCGCAGCUGCUAUGAUAUCGGGGUCAUCCGGACCGGCGGCUUUCACUAUAAGCGGGGCAAUCGAUUGUUUGCUUUGUUCCCUGAGCUGGGCAACUCGUUUCCCGCUUUUUUUACUUUCUAAUUCCGUUUUCUCGGCCUCCUCCAAGGCUUUGUUCUCCUGGUUCUCCGCCCGCUCUUUCUUCUCCUUCAACAUGAGUGCCUGCCUACGAAGUUCACGUGCAUAGUCGUCAGGCAGAUUCUUCGCGGCUUGGGACGGUGUGCUCAAAAUGACUUAGCCCACUUCUUUUGCUCAUCAGAAAAUACUGGCUUGGGCUCGGGCUCUCUUUUCUUCUUGCAGUCCGCCUUCCAUUUCUCAUGAUCAGCAGCCGCGGCCACGGCAGUUUCCUCGGCACUACGUUCCCAAGGCCUUGUGGGGAGAGGCUUCAGUGAUGGCUCCGGUACCUUUGUGGUCUUAGGUACAUAAGGGUCCGGGUUAAUAAUCCAGGACUGCUUCUGCUUCUUUGCCGGAGGUGGAUUGGGGGGCGGCGUCUGAUCACCCGCCGGACGAGGACUGGGGGCGGUGUCUGAUCACCCGCCGGACGUUGUGGACUGGGGGGCAUCGGCUGACGUGACGGAGGUGUAGGUGAACCGCCACCACCGUAGGGGGGUGGACUUGUUGUCCUUGGUGCCUCGCCUGGAAACUUGAUAAACUUCUUUUGCCAUAGAAUGAAAUGGCGCUUGACAUCUCCAAGUCUUUUCUCCCCUUCAGGUGUAGCAAUGUCAAUCUCCAGGUCCUCAAACCCUUGGACUAUGUCCUCCACCGUGACACGAGCAUAGCCAUCUUGAAUGGGGUUGUUGUGGUGGAGUGCUCCAGGUAAACAUGGUAAAGCACUGCCGAUGGCUACCUUCAUGGACAUGUUCCCGAUAGGAUAAUACAGAUGACAUUCUUUCAUCUUCUUUAUAUCGUCCACGGGGUAGCGAGGAGGCUCCGGUGCAGUAAUUUCGACCACCAGAGGCUCCGGUGCAGUAAUUUCGAUCGUCGGUGCAUCUGCACCAGCCGGUGGGGCCUCCGUGGAAGCCACACUGCUUCUCCGCUGCUGGCUUCUGAGAUCUGCUGGAUGAUCUUCAUGCUGCGCCCGAGCUGCAUCUCUUUCGGCUACUAGUACACUCACGGUUUUCUUCAUCACAUCCAUUUCCGAUGCCAACCGCGCCACAACAUCUGCUUCCCGAUCCAUCUUUCUCUUCCGGCUUCUGUAACCGUACGGGUCAUCGUUCUGGGGGAACCCUAUUUUCCACGGAAUGUGCCCCAUGCCUCGUACACGUCCUCCGUGUUCAGGAUUCCCAAGGGCUUUUGUCAGCGCGUCGUUCUCUCUGUUGAACUUGAUCUUCCCCUCUUGAGCAUCCCUCAUUGCGUCAAUAAGGGCUUGGGUGGGUUUAAUUAUUUUGCCCCGGUAAACACACUCCCCUGUCUCUGGGUUCAGCGUUCCCCCAUGCCCGUACCACCAGCUUUUGGCCCUUGGGUCCCAUCCCUCCGUACCUGGACGGAUUCCUCGCGCCCUCAGCUCGUUCUCCAUCUUCUCCCACCUAGGCUCCCAAAGGCGAUACCCUCCUGGCCCCAUAAUAUGAUUGUACUCCUUCUUAGCCGCAUUUUCCUUAUUUUUUUCGAUAUUUGAAUGAACUGCUCCGAUUUCUUUUGCUUCACAAAUUCUGGCCAAUCAUGUUUCAGUUUCUCAUAUUGUCCUUUGAAAUCCGGAGUCUUGUUCUGCUUGCCAAAGUCAUGGGCUAGAUUUUGCUUGAAUUUCCGGAAUGCGUCGGCCAUCUUAUGAAGAGCGAACUGUUUGACUAGCCUCCUCCUCUCCUUGUUUUCCUCAAUCUUGUUACCCUCCUCAUCGAAUUUGAAGAUUGUCGUUUAUCGACGUUUGUUCGGCAUCAUCUUGCUGACGGCGCCAUUCAUCUUCACCGUCAAGGUUCAGAUAAGAAGAGAUAUCAUCUUCUUCUUGUCCGGUCGGCACAUAUAGAAUAUCGCCGUUUAUGAUGCCGAACAUAUGUGCUUCACCGUCCGGAUCAUAGUUGUCCAUAAUCGGGUCAGCUCUAUCGUCCGCCAUUAUGUCAGUCCUGAAAACAUGUAGUAAAAACAAAUUAAUUAAGUGAAGAAGGGGGGCGGUGGCGGUGGCGGUGGCGAAAGGGCGGUGGCAAAAGGAGGGGGCGAGGAAGGGGUGGGAGAGGGUGUCGCGGUAGAGCGCGAGACGGGGCGGCAGACGACGGCGUCACGGAGAGGGAGGCGAGGACAACACACAUGUAUAACCCUCGCCGCCCCCUCUCGAUCCCAAAAAAAAAACACCGCGCGCAUCGCCGCCCCCCUCGCCGCCCCCUCUCCGUAUAUGCGCGGGGUCGUGUACAUUUUUUUAAAGCGGGAUCGUUGUACAUUGACGCGCGGGGUCGUUGUAUAUAUUGAUUAUCAAGUUUUACUUUUUUUGUUGUUAAUUAACAAGUUUUAUAUAGGUUUUUUUGUUAAUUAUCAAAUUUUACAUUUUUUUGUUAAUUAUCAAGUUUUAAGUUAUUUUACCGUUUUUGUUAAACUAAUUAACUAGUUAAAAUUAAAAAGAACAAAAAAAAAGAAAA